Molecule: long non-coding RNA, 68255 nt
Filed under: Citrus maxima (pomelo)
Lineage: Eukaryota; Viridiplantae; Streptophyta; Magnoliopsida; Sapindales; Rutaceae
Description: long non-coding RNA (CMAX_LNC003762)
Source: RNAcentral
AAACACAUUACCUCGAGGGGUGACGACCAGUAAAUGGAAAAUAAAUAUCCCUUAAAGGUAGGAAUAAAAACCACCAGAUGGGCAAUAAGGAUUCCUUGCGUAAGAAAAUGAGAAAUCUUAAAUUGAGACUAUAGAUUGGUAAAACCACUAAGACAAUAAGACAAAAAUAUAGGGAUAAGGCAAAAAUAUAGGGAUAAGGCUUAGCAAUAGAAAGAACUAUUGAAGAAGUUACUUACAACCACCAAACGGGAAAAAGUAUGCACAAAACCCCCACUCCUAAAAACAUGCUCCACUCACUUUUCAAAAGGUAUUUAAAGAGGAAACAAGGAUAGAGAGAGAUAUGAAAACAUGUCACCCUAGGGUUUCAAUUAGGAUAGUAGUGUCACCACCCCAUGACCUCCUAAAAUACAAGAGAUGGAAUCAUAAGUGCCAUGCAUCACUUCAUUCCCAUGAAGGAAAAAGUCUACUGCUAGUCAACAACUCUCCACAUUCUCCAAAAUAAAAAGAAUCAUUCACCUAAAGAUGUGGUAUAAUAUAAAUACUCAAUUACUUUCUCAAAGAGAGGUGACUUCACUAAAACUCCGAUUUUAUCAUUUAACUUGAAUUCUAUAGUCAUUGAAUUAAGCAUUGGAGUGGAUUGCUGGAAACCCCUUUUUCAACCCCAUUUCACUAUUGUUUGUUUGUUAUUGUAUGUGCAAGCAUACCAUUGUCUGUUGCACUUGGUUUAACCUAGGCAAAAAAAAUUAGGUAUCAACAUUUGGUGCUAGAAGGAAGGCUUCUACCAACAUAGUUGUUGAUUAUGAUGGUGCGAUAAAAGUCACAUCAAUCGUCAAUUUCACCACAGUUAUUCUCCUCUGACUAACUUAUCUUCUGAGACACAAGUCGUUUUAAAAUUCACCAACUUCCAACAAGGCUAAAAAGGAGAGAUUGUUAAUCUAAAGGGCUGGAAAGCAUCCUUUCUUAGACAAACUCUAUAGUACAAAAACGUGGAAAAUAAACAUCAAACUGGAAAAAGCAAAAGCUCAAAGACAACAUGGGAUUUCAACAAAAAUAUCUAGGAAAGCAAAAGGCACACCUGCAACUACCCAAGAGCAUAUGACUUGGCAACCCUAACUUCAAUGGGGGAACAAAAGUACACCAACCAUGAAACUUUGGCACAUGGCCAAGCUUUCCCAUGGAAAGCUAAGUAUAGCGACCACUUUAGUGGUCUCCAGGUUUUACUUAAAACUACUAGAACUUAAAUUUUGAAAUUGAAGCAAGCCUAUGUAUUAGAGCUAAUAUGGAAGCACUAAAUAUGAAUCUCCAAGCGAGAUAAAGCAACGACAUAUUGACAUUUUGAUAAGUCCUGAAUAACUUAUUGAAUGUCCCUAAGAACAAGUGGGAUUAGGUCAUUUGACCUCACUAUAAGCAACAGGCUCAAAGGAAAGAAUGGAUUCGUGAAAUGAAUAGAACUUGCACGAUUAGAAGAUAUGAGACACUAGGUGAAUACAAAUCACCUUUCAUCGAAGAUGAAGCAGAAAUCCUCAUACUACAUAAGAUAGGAAAAUUUGGCAUGGAAUCGUACAAACCAGGGGAGAAGUUAUCAAAGGCUAUCAGAGCCAAACUCUAGUCAUUAUUAAAACAUGCUUCAUGCAACAAGCAGUGUUGAACACUCCACAAGAACGAACCAUGUAUAUGAAUAAAGAACAAGCCAUAUUUCAAGCAGCUUUCAUACAUGCAAGCCCUAUAGAAAAAGAGAGACAAAUCCAACAAGAAACUUCAGUGUUUUUACCUUAAGAAAUAUAUCGAAACAUAAAUAAAACAAAAAGAAGCUUGGAAAUCAACACUUGGUCAACUGGUUCACAAGCCUAACUCAAGGACACACUAUUAAUCAAGGAAUUGCUAAAGAAGAGGAAUUAAACUAAAGAAACCAUCACUAAUUCACAAGAACACUUGAAAUGAGUACACGUGCGUAAAUGUAUGCACUUUAUUUAUAUAUAUAAUAUACACUAAAAUGCUUGCCACUUGUAUUAUAUAGCUUCUAGUCAGAAAAUUUCAUUGCAAAAGAGUAUUAAUCUUUUGAUUAAAAUUUUAAGAUCUCCAAUUGACAUAUAUAUCAUUGCCGUUGUGCAUCUAUCACGAGACCAUUAAAGAAGGAACGUUAGAACUUUAUUUGUGCACCUAAAAGCAUGCUAACUCAUCUCGAUAUUAAUUAAGCUCAAUGUUAAGCAUCGAUUGAGGACAGAAAAAAAAAAAUAAAGUUAAGUAAGUAUGACGUUUGCUUAAUAGAAUGAUCUUCCACUAUUAAGGGGUGGAAAAAUCACAAGUACAAAUAACGUCCCUCAUCUAAGUAAAAGCCAGCAGGCUGCACUAUAAAGAUAAGAUACUUCCUAAUUAGAAAAAGGAAGAAUAAUAAAGAAACCAUAAAGCACAACUUUAUUUGUGGCAACGAAUAGUCAACUGGAGCAACCAUAGCAUGGAUGAGGUGGCGAAAAAGCUCUACCUAAAACUCAUAAUUGGAAUUACAUAAUAGCUACCUCCAUUACAAAACUAAACUAUGACAAACAAGAUUUAUAUAUCUCGUUAAGGGAAAUUCCAUCACUAAAUUUCAUCCUACCUAAAUUGUCAUGGUUCCCACCCUGCAGUAGGCCAGGCAAUGGGGAGGCUAUAUGAGAGCUAUUGCAAUAAAUCUUUCAUGACUCAUGGAUGGAACAAAAUUGAUGCGGAAAAACAUCGAUGCAAGAAAUGUUUCUAAGAAGGUGAUUUGGUGAUGACGCAUUUGCAGCGAAGUCAUUUUCCUGGUAUUCGCGCUAAAUUGGAGAAGCACAAUUAUGGAUCGUUUUGUAUGGCGCAGGAGAUUAAUGAUCAUGCUUAUGUGCUCCAGCUACCAACUAACUGGAAUAUCUCACAUAUUUAAUGUGGAAAUUUGUUCAAAUAUCAUCCAGAUGAUGAGGCGUUGUAUGAACCAAACUCGAGGAUGAAUUCUUUUCUAAGUGAAAGGGACUCAUAUAGGAUAGUUGCAUGUCACGAGCAAGAUACCUUUCGAAGGGAAUAACUUGGGCUACAAGUGUCCAUUUUAGGCGUAUAAUAUAUUUUUUCGAAACUUGCGACGAGAUGAAUCAAAUCAAUAUGGCAUGAAUCAAACCAAUAUGGCUUGUGCCUUUUUACCUCGUGCUUGACCCCGAAAAUCUAUUUCUUUCCUAGUCAUUUUUCAGUUUUAAGAUUUUUUCCUAUGUUUUGUCUUUUUUUUUUUUUAUAUCAAAUUUAAACACUGUUUGUUUUACUUUUUUAUUUGGAUUAGGAGAAAUUUAUUAUCAAUUAAUAUUUUGGAUUUUCUUAUUUUAAUAAAUUCAUGAUAUUUAGGAUUAUUAUAUAAAGUGACCCAAAACCGUAGUUUAUUGAUUUAGACUUAUUUAAUAAAACCUUGUUAUUUACUAACUUGUGUUUCAUCUAUCUUUCAACCUUUUACAUUUUCAUUUCGUCACAAUCAAUGCUAGAGUAGACACCAUGUCGCUUGCAACUGAUGUCUAUGCUUGCAACAUUAUGUAAAAGCCAACAAAUAGGUAAUUAAACUACAAGUAAAAAAAAUCAAGUAAUGUCCCAUAUUUUUUAUGGGGAAAAACGGUAAGAAAUAACUUAAUAAGUAAUCAUUAAUGCUUAUUUUUCUGGGGAAAUCAAUGGUGUCAAUGCAUUUUUCAAUAAUAGGAAGUUACUUUUGAAAAUGUAACAAUGUUUUCAAUAGCUUUAUUAAAUUCGUUAGAAAUGAAUGAUUAUUGGUGACCACACUAUUUUACAAUUGAUAAUAGAAGUUUAAUUUCGAUCAAAUAUAAAAUUGGAUGAAAAUAAGUAGUUAAAUUUUGAAAUGUUUGGCAGUAGGCAUUGGUGACACUAUUAUUUGCAAUGGCAAGAUUUUGGCAAUCGAAAAUACGGUAUCGUUUUUACUAAAUACCAAGGUAGUCACAAACGAGUAUUGCAAUUAAUAAGGUGGUAAAUUUUGAGUUAUGAACAUUUUCAACUUAUCAAACUUGUGGUAGAAAUAAAUUACUAUUUUCGAUGACUUUUAGCCAUUAUAAAAAAUACAUUAAUAUUUAUAGCUAUGCUAGAUAAUUUAUUGCUAAUAGUAUGAAAUUAAUAAGAAUAGUUUAGGUAGGGUAGGCAUUUGGAUCGGGUCAACCCGAAUUGAACCGAACCCAAAAUUUAUUUGGGUUUAGUUCAGUUUGGGUUGGCCCUUAAAAUCUGAACAGGUUCAAAAUUAGAACCCAAUCGAUUUUGAUUUCGGUUCGGGUUGAACCCAAACCGAAAUUGAAACCCAAUCAGAUUAGCAAUAAAUAAAUAAAUAAAUAAAAGAAAUUAUGUAUAUAUGUAUGAAAGGACAGAACGACAAUAUCAGAAGAUUAAACAAAAUUCCUAAAUCCUAAAUUCCUCUUCUGUUCCACGCCGCCUGCAGCAUCCACGAACAACCCCUUCUUCUGCUCAACACUGCCUGCAACAGCCACGCAGAACCCCUUCUUCUACUCCACGCCGCUUGCAGCAGCCACGGACAACCCUGAAUCGGCAAACCCAACGCACUAUAGAGCAUAGACACAGUGAAUCUUACUCACACAGCCACACGAAGCCACUGUUGUCAGUUACAUUCACGUGCACCGGGGUUGCAGCUUCUAGCCGUUCCUUGAGCUGCUGUCAAUUUCGUUCAAAUGCACCACUGUCAGUUUCGAUCUAGCUACUGUCGUCGCUGGCUCGUUGCCUUCUCCUCCAUUCGUUGUCGUUAGCCGCACAACGUGGUGACCUUCAGGUUAUGUUUGCGAUUUGGUGAUGAAUAAGACGGGGGAGAUUGUUAAUUUAAUUCAGUAAUGUUUUUUGGGAUCAUAUUGGCUAUUUUUAUUUUGGAACUUAAUCGGGCACAGUAGUGCAAGGACAUCCAGAGACUGUAAAUUGAAAAAUAAACAAUCAAGAGUUGUUGAAAUGUUGAGGAUGCAGUUGAUAUUUGUCUUAUUCUUCAUUGAUCUGUCCUGGGAUUUGAGAUUUUGGAACUAUAAGUGGCUGGUUACUAGUAAUUCAUAAAGAAUGGAACUGUUGUAACCCAAAUUGAACCCAAACCCGAAAUUGAGACCCGAAUUUUCAAAUCGAACCAAUUCGAAAUGUGAACCCAAACCAAACCGAACCAACAUAAUUUCGGUUCAGUUUGGUGUGGGUUCACGUUUUGAACUCGAAUAGGUUGAAUUCUCUAAUCCGAUCGGGUUGCAACCCGAACUGAAACCCGAACAACCCGAACUGAAACCUGAUUUGCCUACCCCUAAGUUUAGGGUGGAAACUUGCGCCAAUACUAUUAUUUUUAUUAGUAUUAAAAAUUAAAAAAAAAGUUUGAAAUUAAAAAGAAUAGUUUGGGGGAAAAGAUUACACCAAUACUAUUAUUUAUUAGUACUAAAUAUUUAAGAAAAUAUUCAAACGUAUUUUAUAGUAAAGUACUCUAAGAAAUAAUAUCAUAUGAUUGAUCCCUAUUAUCAAAUCAAUUUAGAGACUAAAUUUUUAUGAAAUUGUAUAGUGAAAUAUUUAAUAAUAAUUUUUUGUAUUAAAUUUCAUAAUUGGAUCAUGCUCUUCAUAGUUGAUAUUUGAAGAUAUUAUUUAGGAUAUUAGUCUAAGAAUGAUGAUACAAUUAAUUUCACCAUAUAAUGAUAAUUAGCUUAGAAUGAUCAUACAUAUAACUGCACUAUAUAAUAAGAAUUAUUGCAAGAAUUUAUUUAUAUAUCAUAACAUAAAUAAAUCAUUUUUUUAACUUAUUGAAUUUUAGUGAUAUUUUCUUUACUAUUCAAAAAUAAAAAUAUUUUAUUUGUCUAAUAGUUUUCUAAUUUUAUCUAAUCUAAUCUAACAUUUUUUUGUCGAAUAUUGAUCUCAUCUAAUAGUUUAAAAAGAUACAUUGUCAUCCAUCUUGUUUAUCUUUAUUAGCAAAAUUCUAGUACUUAUCAUCGCAAAACACACUUAAUUAGGCUAAAAUAUAUUAUUUAAUCAUUAAAUAGAAUUACAGUUUGGGUUAUACCCCACGUUCUCCAUUCUGUCUUUAACCCAUCUCUUGACGCCACCAUAAUCAUAGUAGAAUUCAUCUUCUCAUGUUCUAAAUUCUCCUCAUCUUUUUAUCUUCUCUCUUCAGAGUUAGCUUAUGUUUUAGUAUAUUAAAAUUCCCUCGUUUGGUAUGUUAGUUCGUAAAUUUGGAUAUAAAAACCAUUUGGCUUGAAUUACUGCAGCAUAUCAUUAAUGGAAAAACAAGAUGCAGAGAUGAAUUUCAAUAUUUGGCGUGAAAUGAAUAAAUUCUAACGGUUAAUUCAUUUUUCUUGUUUUGUUUAAUUCAUGCACUGCCUUGUAUCUUAGUUUUAUAUAUAUAUCGAAUUUCAUUCCAUCUAAAGUUUAUAUAUAUUCAUAUGCAGGGAAUUAAGAGCUCUCACCAAAUUUCCAUUGUACAAGAUUGAAAUGCGCACUCUGUCAAAUACUGAUGUUGGUUUUGUUUUUUAACAAUACCAAGUGUUGUAAUAUUCUUACGAAAUGUUUCAUAGUAGUAGUCUGAAUUGUAAAGCUUAGUGAAUAUGUAUAUUGUUGUACUCAAUUCAUGUACAUGUUGAAAUUAUUAAUAAAAUAAUGUUAGAAAAGAUUUUAGUAGAAUUUUUUUUAAAGUUUUUAGUAGAAUUUUUUUUUAAGUUUUACUACUCCUAUUUAUAGCGAACAACUCAAUUACAAAUUUACUUAUUUCGACUUAUAUGUAGUAUUUUCGAUUGCAACAUCAAUUAGAACAAUACGUUUUUCUAACUACAAGUUAGUUAGUUAGGCUAUUUUUUCCCCUCAAAAUUAACGUAUUUUCAAUGGUCAUAUUUAAUUGAAGUUGCUAUUACAAAAGCUACCGCUAUAGCGAAUCGAAAAUUGUAUUUUUGAUGGUGAAUUGUUAUUACAAAAGCUACUGCUAUAGCCAAUCGAAAAUAGUAUUUUUGAUGGCUUAAAGUGAUCAUAAAAAUUACUCAUUAGUUGUGGGUCCAUAUUAUUUCUGAUGUGCAUUUAUCAUUUUUCCAUGGCUAAUGUUGCUUGAAAAAAAGCAUAUUUACGUCAAUUAGUUGGAAAAAAAAGUAUUUCUACCCUAAAUAUUAUCGACGUCAAGCAACUGCCUACAACCGUUAAAAAAAACACAUUUACAGUGGUAUUUCCUUUGUUUUGACUGUAUUCAACAAUCACAAAAAAUAGUCUUUUUUUAUAGAAUAGUAAAAAUAAUUGCUAAAAUUGUAAAAAAAAAAAGAAUUAAAUGAAGUUAAUAAUAUUUAAAUCCAUAGAAGAUAGAUCGGUGCAGAGAAUCUAUUAUUACAUCAGUUGGAAGGACCAUAUUCAGCGGUGGAAGAUUUUUCAAAAGAGCUACUAAUGUGGUAUAGUUCUAACAUAUUCUGUGACCGUACAUGAUCUCGAUGUGAAUUAUUCGAAUUACUUAGCCCUCAAUCUAUUAGUAAACUAUCUCGUCAAAGAUUGAUGGAGAUGUUUUCUAUUAUAUUUGGCGCACUUUUAUCUCCCAGUACUUCAGUAGGAUUACGAUGGUUAUUUGUACUCGAUCUAAUAUGAUGUUGUACUCAGUGUAUUGUAUCGUAUUCUGUUUUGAAGAAAAUUCGGCAUGUAUGAAAAAAAUAAAAUCAAAUCAAACCAAUUAUGGUAUUUCACAACGUUGCAGUUCGUGCAGGUCCACAACAUGUUAGUGAAAUUUUAUUUAAGUUGUAUUAAUUAAGAUGUAUAUUGUGCGUUCUGUUUUCAUUCUUUCAAAUUUUUAGCUAUUCGAAGGGUUUUUAAUUUAAUAAUCCGCCUUGCUAGUCGGGGUUCCUUUUUUUUUUUUUUUUAAUGGCAUAUUGUGUGUAGUUAUAUACUUUCAUACAGACAAAUUAGAUGGAUAACUAAUUAUAAACAACUAAUAGCGAGAAUAAAUAAAAGCUAUUGCAAUGUUAUAUAAUUAUACCCAAAAUAAAAUAAAAUUAUAAAAUUGUUAUGAAAUAAUUAUAAUUUAUGUGGAUGUUCAUCAAAGCAUUCUUUUAUCUCCUCACAAGCAACUUUUCAUCUCUUAUAACUCCCAUUAUCUCCUUAAUUUAAGGGUUGUUGUCUCUCAUAAUUAUGAUGUAUUAUUUACUACUUUAUGGUUGUAUCACUAUAAAAGGAGAUUUUUACUCCUUAUUUGUAUAUAUUUGGAAGUGUGAAUAACACACAAGAGAUUGAAUAAAAUUCCUCUCUACACACAUUAUAUCUCUUAUUUGCUUUCUUUCUUUCUCUUGCUAUAUGAUUGUGCUCUUAAUUAAUAGAUUUUAUAACACGUUAUCAGCACGAGUCUCUAGCCACAAGAGAUCAAUUUUCAUCCUCUUUAAAAUAUGGUAAUAUCUCUUCUUUAAUCUUACUCAUAAAAGUAUGAAGUAACAAUCUUGAUUUUGCCUAAGAUGAUAUUUACAUUCGCAUAUGUAUUUUGAUAAUCUAGAAUAAUGCAUCAAUGAAUUCAUACUUUUAUAUCAUCAUUACUUAUAUUGUUAUUAUUUGACAUUUCUUAUUCUAAUAUUCAAUUGCUAUUAUAUAUUUUCCAUUCUUGAAAUUCAAAAAGUUCAUCCUGAAGUGUGAAUACUAUAAUAUACAGUGAAAGAAAAUUGAGAAUGCAUCCUUGGGGGAUUACAUUGCAUAUAAUGAAGAUUUUCUUUCAAAAUAGGUUCCUGAAGAACUAUUACAAAAUUAUGAUGUCAUUCAUCACCAUCUUGUUUAUGAAGGAUUGACUAUAUAAGUGUAUAUUUUACGUCCAUGAAGGACUACACAAAUAUUACGAGUUCAUGUUGUCGUGUAAGGCUAUAUACGAAUUUCCUUCUUAAUAUCUCAUAGAAGGAGUUAUAAAAUGAAGAGAUAAACAUGACAUAAUUGUUUCUUUGAAACUAUUUUAGAGGAAAAACAUGACAAUCAAAAGUGUUUGAGUAAAUGCAUUUAUGGUAUGAAUAAUUUCUUGACUUCAUUGGCUUGUUGCUUUAUUUUCAAUCAUCUAAACUUUUAAUGACAAAUUUUUGAAUACUUAUUUUAUAAUUUCUAAGAACAGUUUGAUAGAAUAAAAUAUAGGAAUGAGUUAUAAAUAAUAUAUAAGUGUAUUUGAUCUUUUUAAUUGAUCUAUAUGUUUUAUUGAAUUCUAGAUAAAUGAUUCUUCUAUUAUUGUCUUGAAUUACUAAAGUUUCAUUAAUAUUUACAUGUUUGAAAUCAUGAAUAGUUAUAAAAUAUUUUUGUGGAAUAAUUUAAUCCCUAAAGGAUUGUAAAAGGUUACGAUUUUCUUUUAUGAUCUUCUCUUUGAAGGAGCUAAAAAUUCAUAUAUAAGCUUGUCGAUAAUUUCAAAGGCUCAAUUAAUUCUCUCAUUUGAAAUUAUAUGGAGAGAAUAAUAUAAAAGGAAACAUAUUAUAGGGCACAUGAUUUUAUAGCACAAAUAUGCUCUUGUAGUAGCAAAUUAAGAGUACUAAUAUAAAUUGAUACUAUGUUUUGUUUUGUUAAAAAUAAAAUAUGAGCUUUUGAUUAAAAGAAAAUCAUGACUAAUUCAAAUCCUUAAUGGAUUCCUACUCUUUUGAGAGUAGUAAUGGAUGUCAUGAUUAUCAAAUAACUAUUCAAAAUUAUAAUGGUCAUAGGUCUUAUUGUCAGAAAUCAACAUGUGAAUAUUUUAUCACCAGAAGUGGUCUAAAAUUGAAUUAAUAUUGGAGACGGACCAGAAGUUCAAUCCAAAAUCUUCAAUAAUUUGACUUAGUAAAGUCUCUAUGCAAGCUUAAUAAUUUUCGUGAAAAUUCUCCUAUGAUUAGGGGGAGUAAAGUGAUAUACAUUUGAUAGACAAUAUAAUUUGUUUCACCUUUAUCCAAAUUUGAUCUUUACAUGAGUUAAUUUAUUUGAACUUGAAGUUCAACAAGAUUAUUGCGCAAUGCACAUUAUUGAUCAAUUAUUGAAUGAAUUUAUUGACAUGUGAAAGUGAAAAAUCACAAAUAAAAUAUAAUUGUUGGUUGAUAUGAUGUCCUUGAAGGAUGAAAUGGUGAGACAAAUAAAUCUGUGAAUGCUUGAAGCUUGUAGUAGAUCAAUCGGUGCAAAUGUUUAAUUCUUGGGAAGUUGAAGUUAAAUAAUUCAGUGCUCUUGAAGAGACUAUGUUUGCAUGUAUAGCAAAAUAUUUGAUCUAUAUUAAAUUAUUGAACAUAUUGCCCUUAGAGGAGCAUAAUGUACCAACUACAAGAUGAGUCUCAAAUACCCUUGAAGAGGUAAAUUGUGAGAAAUAAAGAGAGAUUCAUAUUGUCUUAUAAAAAAAACACGUGUGAAAAUUAAGAAAGAGAUAUCUUUAGCUCUUGCAGAGGCAUAUAUAUUAGAAGUUUUGAAAGAUCUCAUUGGGCAUACAUAUUGCAAAAUAAAAAGGUAUUUGAUCAAUAGUAUGUUGGUACUUGGUGCAAGAGAAAAAUUGGAAUUGACAUAAAAUUGUUGUCAGUAAAAGUUUAGUUAUCAUGAUAAAAUAUCCAGGAUCCUGAAUCACAAAAUUAUGAAAGAAUGUCAAUUUAUAUGAUUGGCGAAAAUUUGGACCUGUAGUCCAUAUGCCAGAAGAUGUAUAAUUAAUUAACAAGACAUAAAGAAUUUUGGACUUAUAGUCCAUACGCCUAAAGUCGUAAAAAUUAUUGAUAAAAUAUGAAUAUGAACUAUAGUGUGUCAAAAUCAAAUUGAAGAAUCUAUGCAUUUAUCCUUGAAGGAUAACUAAAAGUACUAAAUGAAAAAGCUUGCAGUUUAUAUGUUCUUGAUAAAGCUAUAAUUAUAGUUGUGUAUAUUAUAGCAAUAUAAACUUACAAAAGUACAAUCACUUGAGUGAAUUUAUUAUAAGUGGGAUAUGUCAUUAUCUACUUUGCUAUGUAAUUGAAAAUUAAAUUUGCAAUCUUUGCACAGUGUGUUGAUGAUUUCAUCAUGAAAAGACUCUUGAAGAGGUUAUCAACUUAUUUCUUUUAAGAAUACAAUUCAAGAUUAAAGAUCUUGCAAUAAAAGAAUUCUCUCAAUUUAUGAAUUGAAGUUUAUGAAGUAGAAUGUUGAUGUAUAGAAAUACUAGAAGUAUUUCAUAUUCAAAAUUAUUCUACUUUAAAAUAUGUUGUAUAUGUUUUGGUCCCGAAGAACCAUACUUUACUCAAAAUUGUGCUUAUAAAGACAUUAGAAAGUUGCAUAAUUGCAAAUUAAAUUAUGCUUAGCAUAUACUUGAAAAUUUCAAAAUAGUGUGAAAAGUAUAUCACACUCUUUCCAUGAUAUGGAUGCAAAACUUUAGUUUUUUUUUUUAAAGAAAAUCAACAAGAUUAUGAAGAUAUAUUCAUAGCAAUAUUCUUCAAAUUCAAAAUGAUUGUAUCUAUAAUUUAUUACAUCUUUUCAAGCUUCGAAAGGAUGGUUUUGAUCCUGCAGAUUAUUUCACCAAAAUAUUGUUAAUUAUAAAAAAUUAUUGUUGAUAUUUGAAGCAUCCAUGUCAUUUUGAGGGGGUGCAUAUUUAUAUGGAGGACUACAUGCACUGUACUCUUUUUCUUUUACUAGGCUUUUGUCUCAUUGGGUUUUUCCUAGUAAGGUUUUAAUGAGGCAGUUUGCACCUUCAUAAAAUACAAAUGAAUAAUGUACUCUCUUUUUUUUUUUCUUUCCCAUAGGGUUUUUAUUAACAAAAGUUUUAAUGAGACAUAUUCUUUGAAAGAUGAACUUCCAAGGGAGAGUGUUAUGAAAUAAUAAUAAUUUAUGUGGAUGUUCAUCAAAUCAUUCUUUUAUCUCCUCACAAGCAACUUUUCAUCUCUUAUAACUCUCAUUAUCUCCUUAAUUUAAGGAUUGUUGUCUCUCAUAAGUAUUAUGUGUUGUAUCACUAUAAAAGGAGAUUUUUACUCCUUAUUUGUAUAUACUUGGAAGUGUGAAUAACACAUAAGAUUCCUCUCUACACACGUUAUAUCUCUUAUUUGCUUUCUUUCUUUCUCUUGCUAUAUGAUUGUGCUCUUAAUUAAUAGAUUUCAUAACAAAAAUUAUAUUCUUGUGAAGUGGCUGCCCACUCGUUUUAAUAUUGCAAUGUUGGCAAAUUUACAUGGUAUCCAAGAAAGAAAGUAAAAAUAAAUAAAAGAAAAGGAAUCGUUGUCUUUAGUAAAGCAGCAAGAGGCAGAAGAAAUGAAUGUCCUUCGUGGAGAAGAAAAUAGUUUGAAAGAAUAUUUACCAGCACCAUCUUAUGAUCUUUUCCAGAAAGAAAUAGUUUCAAUUGACUCUUUCAAAAAAUAUGGGAGGCAAAGGUACAUAGAGAGAAUAAAGAAAAGCUACGAUGCACUCAUAAGUGUUGGAGCAUAUCAAUGUUUAUUCAUUCUCUUAUUUAGAUUUCUAUCAUUUUCCUUCUUUAUCAUAUUCUUCUAAAGUGAAAGUUAUACAUUAAUAAAAUAUCAUGAAAAUAAUAUUUUUUAAUGACUUUAUAAUUUAGUAUCGAUAUUUAUAAUAAAAAGUUCACAUAAAUUUUUUAAAUUAGUUCCAUAGAGAUACAAUUUGAACAUCUAAACGUAAAGUUAGUUAGAUUUACUUUCGAAUAUUUGGGGAAAAAAAUCAACAAGAGGAAGAUAAAAUGUGGAUUCAUUACUAAAGUCUAAAGUUAUACUACAAGUAGAUUCAUUAUCAAGGCUAAUGGCUUAUUUAAAUUGACAACGCCAAGUUAGAAGAGAUCAAUAUGGCUUCGCAAAUUGAGGCGGUGAAUGAUUUGUUUGAAAAUGCCAUGAAAGGCCGAUGGAAUAAAGUUUUGGAGGCCUAUGAGAACCCCAUAAUUCAAGUGGCCAAAAUCACUAACUCAAAAGACUCAGCUUUUGCUUGGCUUAACGAUACUCUUCACAUCAAUUGCUGCUAUUUUGAUCUAUUGUGAUUUAGACCGAACCUAACGAGAUCAACCUCACCCCAAGAACACUUAACUCACAUAACUUGACCCAAGAACCAACCAAGAAUCAGUCAAUACAUUAAGGAUCAAGAAUAAGAAGCAGAUCAAGAACAAAACACACACGAAUUAAAGUGGUUCAGCACCAACUUAAUAAUGCCUACUUCCAUGGAAACAAGCUCCGUGAUUUCACUUUAUUGAUUCCAAGAGUUACAGAGAGCAUUAACAAUAAUGGAGAUUACAAGCCUAUUCAGAACUCUCUCUCACAUUCCCUUAUCAAUGUCCUCUCUCGAUUUCAGUCUGUUACAAAACCCAGAACUCCAGCCCUUUUAUCAACUGAUUCUGGAUCUAACUUCCUCAGCGGCUUUUCCUGCUAGUGUAACAGAAUUAUCCACCUCAAUCACGUGCUUGCAGCGUUUCUCUAAUAAGCAGGCUUGAAACGGCUUCUUACUUAGUCGUUUUAGGAGACUAAGCAUUUCCUUCAGCUCACGUGUCAUACAUGUGAGCUACUUAUAACACAUACCGACAUUUUGGCUCAUGUCGGUUUCGUUCCAAACCCUUGUCAGACGACAUUUCGUGCUAACACAUAAUCAACAUAUAACAUGUCGGGACUGAGUAUUCAGUUCACAUUUCACAAUCUCCACCUUGAACUCAAUACGUCAAGUUACUCCACAGUGCUUUCUUCCUCAUGAUUUGCAGCGUCAGUUUCUACAAAUCCUUGCUAAAUUCAUGCAUAGAUUGAACUUAGCAGAGGGUACUGCCUUGGUUAGCAUGUCAACUGGAUUCUCCUUUGUAUUUAUCUUUAGAAGCUUUACAACUCCUCUGGAAACUUCAAGCCUUAGAAAAUAGAGCUUCACAUCAAUAUGUUUAGUUUUCUCAUGGUGUGUCUGGUUUUUGCUGAGGUGAAUUACACUUUGACUAUCACAAUAAACUUCAACUGAGUCUUGCUAAGCUCCAAGUUCAGUAACCAUUCCCUUCAGCCAAAUGGCUUCCUUGAGAGCUUUUUUUAUUUAUUAAGAAAAUGCAAUCAUAAUAAUUUAUUUAAACAAAGGUAUGUUCGACAUUUAAGAGGGUUUGUAUAGUAAAUUUUUAAUUUUUAAAUUUUAGUGUGGGUGAGUUUAGCAAAUGAGUGGACAAAGUAUUCUGGUGGGUUCAAAUAACCCACCCUUACUUUUAUUCUAAUAUUCAUUCUGUCCUUGUAUGGAAUUACUGAAAAGGAACAAAUUUCCCGAAUUUACAACUACUGCUCUAUCAUUCACCUGGCGCUGUGGACGAAUUCAUUCGUUCCCUACCCUGCGAAUUUGUUCACUAUCAACAAGACUCCAGUGAGGUUGUGGUGUUUUAUUAUUAUUAUUAUUACUACGGCGGUUUUGGCUUUUUACAAAAAUUUUAAAACACUUUCGUAAUAUCUUCGGUAAAAAAUUAACAUAAGAACAUAGAUAUUAUAAGCAUUUAUUUGAACGAAUUAUGAAUUUCAUAUAUAUGUGUAUGUGUGUACACGUGCGCACGUGUAUAAAACAAUAGUGUGUGGGAUUAAAUAGGGUACAUAAAGAGAGAAAAUAAUUUAACUCUUUUAGUAGGAUUUAUUGAUAAGUGAGGAUUGGUGGGAUACACCGCUAGUGAGUUGCAAGGGAUAACUUCUAGUAUUAUUUUUGCUCACUUCUCUUCCAAACUUGUCCACCUUCCAUGGUUCAUUGUCACAUUGUCCAAUAGAAUAUAGCAAUUUGAAACCCACACAAUGUGCUUGAAAUAUUGAUAUUAAUAAUAAUUUUGAUUUGAAGUUUUGAACGUGUUUGCUAAUGGAGAGAGAAACAAAGUAAAUAAAGAGAGAGAAUAAUUCCUUGGGUAAAAGCACUAAAGUAGAGGUAAUAUGGGAAUUAGAUGGGGUACAUAGAAAGAGAAUUUAUUUUAAAAUUUUUGGUAGAACUUAUUGAUUAGUAGGGAUUGGUGAGAUAAAUUCAGAGGUCAAAUAUUACUAUUCACCAGUGAAUUGCAGGGGAUUCCUUCUCUAGUAUUAUUUUUCCUUCUCCACUUCUCUUCAGAAAUUGUCCGUUCUUCGUAGUAUAUUGUCACGGAAAAUUCCAUGAUACCAUCAUUAAAAUUAUGGCAUCAAUACCAUAAUAAACAUAAAUUUUAUAAAUUACACAUAAGAUUAAUAAAUAAAAUAUAAAAUAAGUAAAUUAAAAUAAGAGUGGUAAAUUAGUUUUUUAAAAUUGCAAAGAAAACAAGCACUUAUAAAAAUAACACAAAACUUGUAAAUCAAUUUCAACUUUAAUUUAAAAAGUAGUUUAUUUAUUUAAUUAAAGAAAAAUAACUUAUCAAUUUAAAACAAAAAAUUUGUAUUGAAAGCAAUUGAAAUAAGUUUUAUUAAAUUAGUUUAACCAUAAAUUCUAUAUUCAUGCUAAGACAUUUAUAAUCCUUUUUUUUUUAAUUUCCUAUCAUAGUAUUUGUUUACUAUAGAAGUUAAUUAAACAAAAAUAUUUUUCUCGAUGUGGAACAAGCCAAAAUAAAAUUAAAAGACAUUCUUAUAUUACUAGACAUAUACGAAAUGUCAAUAAAAUUGGAUUUAACUCUUAGUUUUAUACAUAUUUAAUGUAAUUUCAAACUUUACUUCUUACUUAUACUAAAAGAUCAUUUGAGGUUACUAUCAAGAAGGGUUUGAAGGAUACAAAAUCAUUCAUCUUACAAACAAUUUUAAAAAAUAGGAAAAAGAAAAUUUUUUUAAAUUUUAUUUUAAGAAUAAGUUUUAUCCUUGAUAAAAUUUCUCACAAAUCCUCACAUCUAUUACAUAAACCCAAAAUUUUCAUUAUUUGGUUUAGAAAUAAAAAUAGUAAAUAUAUAAAAUAAUCAUUAUCAUAAUGAGUUUUUAUUUUACAUUUGUAAGUUUUUAUUGUUUUAAUAACUCUUAUAAUAUCUACUUGUUUUAUAUUUCAUUUACAAGUCUUCUAUUUCAUUUACAUAUUUUAUAUGUUAUUUGAUAUUUAAUGUUGAUUUACAAGUUUUAUGUUACAUCUGUAAGUUUAUAUUUUGUUUACCAAUAAUACAUCAUUUUAUCAUUGUUAUGUUAAUUUACUUAUUUUAUCUUCUAUUUACAGGUCUUAUGUUUUAUUACUUAAUUUAUAUUUUAUUUUACACUUAAUGUUGAUUUAUAAGUUUUAUGUUAUAUCGAUAAGUUUUUAUUUUAUUUACCAAUGAUAGAUGAUUAAUUUACUUAUUUUACCUGUUAUUUACAAGUCUUAUGUUUCAUUUAUAUCAUUUACGUUUUAUUUGCCAAUAACACAUUAGCUAACCAUUCUUAUGUUGAUUUACUUGUUUUAACUUUCAUUUAUAAGUCCUAUGUUCCAUUUGCACAAUUUAUAUUUUAGUUUACACUAAUUAUUGAUUUACAAGUUUUAUGUUACAUUUAUAAGUUUUUGUUUUGUUUACCGGUUGUUGAUACUUGAUUUUUCCUUAUCUGGGUAGAACCAAGUGCAACAGAUAGAGUUAUACCUGCACAUAUAGUAACAAAAAAAAAAGUUGAAAUGGGAUCGGAAAAGGGGUUUCCCGACGCUCUUACUCCAGUGCUUAAGCCAAUGAUUGGAUAAUUUGAAUUGAAUUAUAAAAUUAGAGUUAUGGUGAACUUAGCUCUUUUUUAGAGAGUAAUUGAGUACUUACACUACACCACACCACAUCUUUAGGCAUUCCUUUAUUUUGGUGAAUGUAGGGAGUUAUUAACUUGUAGUAGACUUUUUGUUCAUGAGAAUGAAGUGACGAGUGGUGGUUACAACUCCAUCUCCUCUAUUUUAAGAGAUCAUGGGGUGGUGGCUCAACUAGCUUAAUCUGACCCCUUGGGUGAUAAGUUCUCAUAUCGAUCUCCGCCCUUAUUUCCUCUUCAAGUACCUUUUGACAAGAGAGUGGAGUAUGGUUUUAGGAUUGGGGGUUCUGCCCCUACUUUUGUGUGCUCGGUGGUUUUAUAGUCAACUACUUUGAUUGUGUUUCAACAGUUCUUUCUACUGUCAAGUGUUAUCUCUAUAUUUUCGCCCUGUUGGCUCAGUGGUUUUGACCAACUCAUAGCCUAGAUCCAAAGUUCCUUGUUUCUUCCCUCAAGAGAUCUUUACUGUCCAUCUGGUGAUCCUUGUUCCCACCUUUGACGGAUCCUUAUUUACUUAAUUUAUGUUCUAUUUUACACUUAAUUAUUGAAUUAUAAGUUUUACGUUACAUCUGUAAGUUCAUGUUUUGUUUACUAAUAGCACACUAAUUUACUACUCGUAUGUUAAUUUAUUUAUUUUAUCUUCUAUUUACAAGUUUUAAAUUUCAUUUACAUAAUUUAUAUUUGUUUUAUAUUUUAUGUUGAUGUAUAAGUUUUAUAUUAAAUUUAUAUGUUUUAUAAUUUAUUUACAUAAUUUAUAUUUAAUUAUAAAAUUAAUGCUGUGAUUUUAAUGAUGACAUUAUAGAAUGAACGUUAUUGUCACAUUAUCUAAUAGAUCAUGCCAAUUUGAUGCCAAUUUGAAAGCCACACAAUGUUCUUGAAAUAUUAUAUUAACAACAAUAUUUUCGAUUUGAAAUUUACCACACGUCUCCCAAUAGUUAACUAUCACCUUUAAGAUCUGAGAAACAAAGGAAAAAAAGAGGGAGUAAUUGCCUUCGGUAAAAGCACCACAGUAGAAGUAACGAAUCACUUCAUGUUGAAGAGCAGUUGAGGAUAACUCAGCAGCAAAUUUUGACCUUUCCCAUUAAGAAAUAUCAAUGAUAUAGCGUUAAAAAAACAUUGGAGGCGUAGUUAUCUAGAGUGCCAAUGUAGAGAAAAGCAUAAAUGCAUUCCUAAGAUGUACCUUUGUUCUGUGUUAUAUAUUAUUUUUUAUACAUUUUAACUAAAUUGUCCUUCAGUUCUUAGGAUCAAUUGUUAAUAGAUUUUCUUCAUUAAAAAAAAAAAGGACACCGUAAUUUUCAAAAUUUACCUUUUUUUCCCUUCAUUCAUUAGGUCAUUUUCUUAUUCAUUCUUCACAAUCUAUCAUAGUGAAAGAGUUAGGGAUGAUAAAAUCUUCCAUGAGUUUGGGGUCUCAUGAGGCUUCACCCCAAAUAGGAUGAAUUUUAAAUAUUUUUUGCGGAAUGAGCGGGGAAUGGGAAAAAAAUAAUAUCUAAAUUCUUCAUAGAGUAGGGUUUGGUUUUGUACUCCACACCCCACCCCAACCCCAAUACCCAUUAUAUGUAAAUAUUUUUUCUAAUUUUUAUUUUAUCAAUUACAAUGUUAGUUAAUAAAUUUUCUUUUUAUUUUUACAUGAUAUAAAUGGGCUAUAAUUAAAAGAAAACCCUACAAUAUAAUUUUAUUUCAACCCUAAAAUAUUGUUAUGUUUUUUUUUCUCUCUUAAGAUGCUGCCCUCUUCAAACAUUUUUCAACUUUAAUAUCAUUUCAAGGUAUUAUUUCAAACAUUUAGAGAUUUUUUAAAAUAAUUUAAAUACUUUAUAAUAUGGUAAUAAUUUUAUUUAAUUCUUUAAUUUUUAAUUUAUUGAAAUCAUGUAUGUAUAUUUAUUAUAAAAUAAAUAAAUGCAGUCACCCAACUAAAUUUAUUAAAGAAUAAGGUGGAAUAAAGACGAAAUUUUUAAUAGAGUAAGGAGUGAGGUAAGAUUCUCCACCCCAGCCCCACGCCAUUGCCGUCCCUGCCUAAUUUUGAAAAAAAAGAAACGUUAACUCAGACGGGAUAUGAUAAUUAAGGAAUUGCUGGUCAUUACCAAAGUCUAAAGGAAUCCAUUGUACUUGUUCUAGCUGGCCAAACUUAUUUAAUGUUUGUUUUUCUUUGUCACUCUUACCCAAGUACAUGAGAUGCCCAAUGGUGGGAUGGUGCUAUAAACAAUGAAGUUAAAAAUUUGAGUCUUUAGUAAUAAAUUCUUUCCACUUUUCACUAAAAGGAAUUGUGGAGUAGGAGGAGAUCUUUCACUAGUAUGGUAGUAGCUAGAUUUCUGAACCAGACUCAGCAGAUUUUAAUUUUUCUAUAAAUACAUUUAUCUAGAGUUGCGGGAGACUUCAGAUUGUAACUAUAAAUAUAUGUUCUCUCCAAGCAAAAAUCUAUAAAUAUAGAGUUUCAGUAAAUUAUUGUCAUAUGUGAAUUUAUGACCAUUAAUAACCGAUCAUGAAGAGCACAAAUCGCUGUAUUAUAAAUCUAUGUAAAUAAAGUUUUAGUAUAUCUCAAAUUAUAAUACAUUUGUAGAUGGUAAUCAUUUAGAAUAUACAUAUAUAUAUUGUUGUGUUAUGAAGCAAAUCAGUUGAUGAAACGACCUGCUGAUGUCGCGUUUUGGAAAGCAACACUCUUCUUCACUAGAACGACAUGAAUGAAGGUCGUUUUGGUUUAAGUGAUGCACGAGAGAUUCACGUGCUCGAAUAAGUUGCUUUCAAGAUUGUUAGAGUCAGUUAUUUCACAUGCCAAUCGCGUGGUUUCUGGGUUCAUUUCUGAUUAGUUAACAAGUUGUUAUAAACAGCGGAUUCUAGUAACAGCAGAGAGGGUGUGUGAGAGAGCUAUUGUGAGUUGAGAAGAUUAACGAGAAAGCUUCUUGAAAGACUCUGUAAUUAGUUUGAUAAAUUCUCUGUAGUUGUCUUUGAACAAUCAAUAAAUUUGGUUCCGUUUCUCCCAUGGAUGUAAGCUGGAUUGAAGCUAGCUAAACCACGUUAUUUCUCUUGUUCUUAUUCUAAGUCCUUAUAGUUCUAGUUCUUUGUUUUUCUUCUGGAUUAGUUCUUGGUGCAUCUUGAUUGUGUGAUUUGCGAUCUUGGGAAGUGCUUCGAGUUGAUUGUACAAUAAUCUGUCACUCAAAAACACUACAUAUAUAUAUAUAAUUAUUUACAAAAAGAAUAUAUUUAUAGAUGGUCAUGAAAAUGAUUGAGGAAGACAUACUGAAGCUCAGCAUCAGGAAUACCAAUUGACAAGAGAUAAAGAAAAAAGGAAAGUAAAAGCACCACUCAUACAUGGAUAUGCAAAUCUGAUAGCCUAUGCAUUGACAGUAUCUCACCAAAUUGAUGAUAAUGAACCCAAGAACUACAAGGAGGCUAUCCAAGGUCCAUACAAAGAUAAAUGGAAAACGGCUAUGGAUGAAGAAAUCUACUCACUGAAGAAAAACAAUACAUAGGAGUUGGUUAAAAGACCUGUAAACAGCAGAACAGUAGGAUGUAAAUGGAUCUACAGAGUCAAAGAUGGAUUAACAGCUACUGAACCUAAAAGAUUCAAAGCUAGGUUAGUAGCUAAGGGUUACAUUCAGAGGGCUGGAGUGGAUUUCAAAGAGGUUUUCUCACCAAUAGUCAGGCAUACAUCAAUCAGAGUACUACUGGUUUUAACAGCUAUAAAAGACAUGGAGCUUGAUCAACUCGAUGUCAAGACAGCCUUUCUGCAUGGAAGAUUACAUGAGGAUAUCUUGAUGACACAGCCUGAAGGGUACACAAAUCCAGAAUCUGCUGACUGUGUGUGUCUGCUGAAGAGAUCACUGUAUGAACUAAAACAAUCACCCAGGUAGUGGUAUCUUAGAUUUGAUGAGUUUAUGGUCACUCAUGGAUAUCUAAGGUGCAGCUAUGAUGUAUGUUUUUACUACAAGAUAAUAAAAUCAGGAAACUACAUAUAUCUGAUGUUAUAUGUAGAUGAUAUGUUGAUUGCUUGUAGUGAAAGAGAAGAGAUUGAGGCCUUGAACCAGCUGCUCAAUUCAGAAUUCGAUAUGAAAGAUUUGGGUCCAGUUAAGAAGAUUUUGGGUAUGGAAAUAAUAAGGAACAAAAAGAAGGGCACUAUGAUUCUGUCACAAAGGAAGUAUCUAGAGAAGGUACUUGGAACUUUUGGAAUGACUAGCAGCAAGUCAAUAGUAACCCCUCUAGCAUCUCACUUUAAGCUGUCUUGUUCACAAUGUCCCAGUACAGAUGAAGAAAGAAGUGAAAUGACAAAAGUUCCUUAUGCAAAUGUUGUUGGUUGCAUGAUGUAUGCAAUGGUACUUACAAGACUAGACUUAGCUCAUGCUUUAAGUGUUGUAAGUAGGUUUAUGGCUACACUUAGAAAGGAACACUGGAAGGCCGUUAAAUGAGUGCUGAGGUAUUUGAAAGGUACACAAGAGUAUGGCCUGGUAUAUGGAAAAUCAGCUGGAAAGGUUACAGGUCUCUGUGGUUAUGUUGACUCAGACUUUGCUGGGGACUUAGAUAGGAGAAGAUCUCUAAUAGGUUAUCUGUUCUUCUUGGAUGGUUGCCUUGUUAACUGGAAGGCAAGUUUGCAGCAUGUUGUUGCCUUGUCAACAACAGAGGCUGAAUACACUGUUGCAACAGAAGCUGUCAAAGAGGCUCUGUGGCUGAGAGGGUUGAUAAUAGAACUGGGAAUGAAGUAGGAGACUGUUGAAGUUCAUUGUGACAGCUCAAGUGCAAUUUACUUGAGUAAGAACCCAGCCCAUCAUGAAAAAACUAAACACAUAGAUAUCAAAUUACAUUUCAUUAGAAAUGUAAUCUCGAAAGGUGUGAUUAGUAUGAUGAAAGUGCAUAUAGAAGAUAAUCCUACUGUCAUGGGGAUCAGUUUAUGCAUGCAUAGAUAUGAUACGAUAUAUGAGAUAUGAGAUGGCAUUUCCCUGUCUAACAGUUGUAGCUUCGGGGCAUGGUGGUUCCCUAAUUGCCCGUCUGUUGAGAUUCAGAUAUCAUGAGAUUAUUCUCCUGGGUACUUGUUUAGUGACAAAUUUCAUGAUUCAGAUGUUCAGAUUAUAGUGUAUCAUGACUUCUUUGAUUUUAUAUGAUAUUAUAUAUUAUGUUUAUGUGAUUGUAUGUUUUAUACUCAAAUAAGUUAUUUAAGUUCUUAUGAAAAUUUUGCUAAAAGGAUUUUUUGAAAUGAUAUAAUUAUUUUGAAGUAAAUUUAUUUUUCAAAAACUACUAUCCACUCAUUGAGCUCAUUAAGUUUUAUACUCACCUCGUUUUUAUUAUAUUUCCCCUAGCCCCCUCCCCUCUACGGGAAAUUUGUAGGUACAUCAGUCGACCCAGCAACGAUAGUUAGAUUGGAAAUUAUGGCCACGUGAUGGUGUUAGGAAUCACAAAUGUUUGUUAGGAUAUUUUGGAUUGCAUAAAUUAUUGCAUAUUCGUGAUUAAAGAUAAUAUAUUGUAUUUUUGACAUUAUACGUCUGGAGGAUAUUUGGUAUGGGAUUGAGGAAGUUGGUUGCGGAGGUUGAUUAAAUAUUGAAUUAUUUUUGGGAGUGUUAAUUUUAUAAAUUGCAGGUUUAGGAAAGUCAUAAUUGUAGAGGAGACUCUGCUGAAUUUUUGGUAGAAUUCUUAGAUAUUAGAUAAAUUAUCAAUUCCUUUGGACGAGAUUAGAUAUAUUCGCCCUGGCGAUUUGGGGAGGGGGGUCAUUUCACAUAUUUAAUUGACUUACCAAGUUUCUUGCUAUUAGGCUCUCAUGAGCUCGUGCUCGUGCUCUCAUGUAGCUAGGCUUAUUUGACUUACUAAGCUUCCUGCUACUGAGCUCUUGCUCUCCCAUGUUUUCAUGCUCCUGUGUUCUCAUGCUCUUACGUAGUUGUGCUUUUUUGACUUAUUAAGCUUCAUACUACGUACUAAGCUAUCACAUUUUCAUGCUUUCAUGCCCUCAUACUCUCAUAUAGCUAUGCUUAUUUGACUUGUUAAGUUUCCUAUUACUGAGCUCUCAUCCUAUCAUGCUCUCAUGUUGCUAUGCUUAUUUGAUUUAUUAAGUUUCUUAUUACUGAACUUUCAAGCUCCCAUGUUUCCACGAUCGUAUGCGUUUGUGCUUAUUUGACUUAUUAAGCUUCCUACUACUGACGUAUCAUGCUUUCAUACAUUCACGUAGUUGUGCUUAUUGGAUUUAUAAGCUUCCUGCAACUAAGCUCUCAUGCUCUCAUGAAGUUGUGCUUAUUUGACUUAUUACGCUUCCUGCUACUGCGUUCUCAUGCUUUUGUACUCUCAUUCUCUCAUACUCUCAUGCUUAUCAUGCUCUCUUGUAGUUAUUUCACUUUUCACAUUUCUCAUGUAGUUGUGCUUAUUUGAUUUAUUACGCAUCCGGCUGCUGAGUUCUCAUGCUUUCGUACUCUCAUUCUACCAAUGCUCCCAUGUUUUCACGAUCUUAUGCGUUUGUGCUUAUUUGACUUAUUAAGCUCCCUACUACUGAGCUAUCAUGUUUUUAUACAUUCAUGUAGUUGUGCUUAUUGGAUUUAUAAGCUUCCUGCAACUAAGCUCUCAUGCUCUCAUGUAAUUGUGCUUAUUUGACUUAUUACAAUUCCUGCUACUGAGUUUUCAUGCUUUGGUACUCUCAUUCUCUCAUACUCUCAUGCUUAUCACGCUCUCUUGUAGUUAUUUCACUUUUCACAUUUCUCAUGUAGUUGUGCUUAUUUAAUUUAUUACGCAUCCGGCUGCUGAGUUCUCAUACUUUCAUACUCUCACUCUCUUAUGCUUUCAUGCGUAUCAUGCUCUCUUGUGCUUGUAAUUAUUUGACUUUUCACCUUUCUUAUUACAACAUGUAUAAUUAUCGAAAUAAAUGUUUGUCUUUAAAAAAAAAAUUUUAAGGCUGAAGACUUUGAAUUUUAAUACAAAUAUUGACGGGUCUAGUGUUUUAAAUUAUACUACUUGGCAUAAGUAUCCAAAUUUAAUGUCAUUAUUUUAUAAAAAGCAAAAUGAUUAAAUUGUUGAAAAUAUAUGAGAAAAAACGAUUUUUAAAGACCAAAACAAAAUCCAACCCUUCAUUAAAUAUGUCGGUUUGAACAAUGGAUCUAUCCAUUAAAAACUCGAUUAGAUAAGAUCGUUUUAUCGAUUAAUCUUAUAUUCUGUUAAUGUAUCGUAUAAACUUUUGUCAAGCCAAUGGUCAUAUAUGGAUUGCGAAACUCUAUAUGAAGAGCGGAAGUCCUGCCGAGUUCAAACUAAGUAAUUAGUUCCUUUGGUUUGCUUUGAUUAGGAAAAAAUAAAAAAUAAAAAGAAAGAAAAAAGUGCCCACUCAAGUUCCAGCAACGGUUUCCAGUUCAAUAGAAAAACCUGUUCGUCCCAAAUUGAAUGUCAUGUUUUUUUAUACAAAGUAAAAUGAUUAAAUUGUUGAAAAUAUAUGAGGAAAACGGUUUUAGUAAUGGAUCUAUGCUUUAAAAGCUCAACUCGAUAAGAUACAGACAAUCGUUUUAUUUUGUAAUUUUACAUUCUAUUAAUGUAUCGCAUGAAAUUUUGUCCAGCCAAAGGUUAUCUAUGAGAGAAAUUUUAUAAUACAUUAUAUAUAUAUAUAUUGUUUAACUAAGAAUAUAGAGGCAGGGACGAACAGAAAAUUUUUAAAAGGGUUUUGAGCCAUUUUUGGACACUUAGGUUUUAUUUAUCCUCACUACACUUGAUUUGCAAUGAAGUUGAUUGACAAAUUACCCUCAAGAUACAACAAACUCUGAACACUAUCUCUAGCAAUGAAACUAUAUUCGAUAACGGGUUAUGAAUCUGUAAUAGAAUCUGGGAUAUUUAUAAGAAGUUAAGUAUCUAUUCAUGAAGUAUUGAGUUUAUUCACAAAACAAUGCAACCUUCCAAACAAAUUAAGGCACCUUUUUAGAACAGAUACACCUCUUUAAAUAGACACUUUAGUGAGAAACAUUGCACCUUUCCAUCAUUUAAUUUGAUUAAUUUAUUUAAAAUAAACUAAUUAAUUAAUUACGAAGGAAUUAUAUUUCAAUCUCAAAGCUCUCAUUUUAGCGCCGCAGUGUGUCUCUCUUGGUGCUGCAGCACCAAUGUUCUCCCGUAUGUAUACUAAUAAAUAUUAUAAUCUCUUUUACAUUUUAAAUAAUCACUAAUUACAUUCUAUUUCUUUAAAAUAAAUGUACAAAUACCAUUGCAUCAUUCCCCUAUAUUGCAAGGACCAAUGAAAUUAAUGCUUAGCCUAGAUGAUGCUUAAAAAUAAAAUAAUAAUAAAUAAGAAUAAUCCUUUUACAAUCCAUAAAAAUCAUAUCCUUGAAAAUACAAAUAUAAAACGCAAACUGCAGCAGAAGAAUUUAAAAUUCAUGCCAAACCAUUUAAUUUCUCCAUUCAAGUUCUUCUCGACGCUCAUCACGAAUCAAUCCUGAUUUACGGAAACUGAAUCACAAUAAACUAUAAUGAGUACGAAACUCAGUAAGUAAACCAAUUUUGCAUAUACCAAAAUACAUACAUACAUAUAUAUAGUGCACAUGAAUGACGUGCCAUGAUAUUCGAAAACAACGUAAAACAAAUCAUCGAAAUCUCAUUCUGUCUUUCUCAAACUUUCACAAUCUCUUUCAAAUCACUUACUUGAGUUACCUUCAUUCAAUUACCGCUUAGUAGGACACUCUCUUAACUUUCAUAACUUUCAUACUCUUUGGGCUUCUCGCCAAUGCGUCCUUCGCCCACUUAUCUCAUAACUAUAUAAACAUCAACGGCAAAACGACGUCCCCGACGUCAGUGGUUAGUCGAAAAUGGUAGAGGAAAAGGUAAGGAACAAAACCCAAGUGCUGGCUUCACCGGAAACCGGCGAAAUCACGGCGAAUCGAGGCGGCGAUUCCGCGGAACUUCAAAGCUUUGAUCGGUGGCUUUCCGAUCGAUUUCCGGCGGCAAGGACGGCAUGGAUACGUUGCUCGUCUCUUAAGCUUCAAAUCGGUACCAACCUUGACCGGAACGGUGGCCGGAAAUGGGAGAACCGGCCAGGUCGCGCUCGCAGGUCGGGUUGGAUCCGGUUCGGUUUCUCUUCUCUCUUUCCUUUCUCUCUCUCUCUCUCUCUCAAUUUAUAUGGGUGGUCAACAGGGUCAAAAUCAGGUGUGGGGUAUUACAAACUCCCCCCCUACAAAGAAUUUCGUCCUCGAAAUUCACUUGUAGUCAUGCUCACAGAAUUUAAACCUCAAGAAUUACUUAUGAUCUAUAAAUCCUUAUAAAGAUCAAAACCAACCAUAUCACACUGUCACUGCGCUACUCUGAUACCUCAAAAAUAUAUCGUUCUUAGUAACAGAAUCACAAGUCCUAACGGUUUGGCAUAGACUUAAUUCUAAUCGUCCUUGAAAUAUAUUUCCCAAGCGAUGGCGAAUGUGACUUCCAUCCGCACAUUUUCAGUUGGGAAUGCUCUGAUACCAUUUGUAACGACCCGUCCCGACCUCCACAGGGCGAAUCUUACUGAUAGAUGUUUAAAAAUAAAAUAAUAAUAAAUAAGAAUAAUCCUUUUACAAUCCAUAAAAAUCAUAUCCUUGAAAAUACAAAUAUAAAACGCAAACUGCAGUGGAAGAAUUUAAAAUUCAUGCCAAACCAUCUAAUUUCUCCAUUUAAGUUCUUCUCGACGCUCAUCACGAAUCAAUCCUGAUUUACAGAAACUGAAUCACAAUAAAGUAUAAUGAGUACGAAACUCAGUAAGUAAACUAGUUUUGCAUAUACCAAAAUACAUACAUACAUAUAUAUAGUGCACAUGAAUGACGUGCCAUGAUAUUCGAAAACAUCGUAAAACAAAUCAUCGAAAUCUCAUUCUGUCUUUCUCAAACUUUCACAAUCUCUUUCAAAUCACUUACUUGAGCUACCUUCAUUCAAUUACCGCUUAGUAGGACACUCUCUUAACUUUUAUAACUUUCAUACUCUUUGGGCUUCUCGCCAAUGCGUCCUUCACCCACUUAUCUCAUAACUAUAUAAACAUCAACGGCAAAACGACGUCCCCGGCGUCAGUGGUUAGUCGGAAAUGGCAGAGGAAAAGGUAAGGAACAAAACCCAAGUGCUGGCUUCACCGGAAACCGGCGAAAUCACGGCGAAUCGAGGCGGCGAUUCCGCGGAACUUCAAAGCUUUGAUCGGUGGCUUUCCGAUCGAUUUCCAGCGGUAAGGACGGCAUGGAUACGUUGCUCGUCUCUCAAGCUUCAAAUCGGUACCAACCUUGACCGGAACGGUGGCCGGAAAUAGGAGAACCGGCCGGGUCGUGCUCGCAGGUCGGGUUGGAUCCGGUUCGGUUUCUCUUCUCUCUCUCUCUCUCAAUUUAUAUGGGUGGUCAACAGGGUCAAAAUCGGGUGUGGGGCAUUACAAACUCCCCCCCUUCAAAGAAUUUCGUCCUCGAAAUUCACUUGUAGUCAUGCUCACAGAAUUUAAACCUCAAGAAUUACUUGUGAUCUAUAAAUCCUUAUAAAGAUCAAAACCAACCAUAUCACACUGUCGCUGCGCUACUCUGAUACCUCAAAAAUAUAUCGUUCUUAGUAACAGAAUCACAAGUCCUAAUGGUUUGGCAUAGACUUAAUUCUAAUCAUCCUUGAAAUAUAUUUCCCAAGCGAUGGCGAAUGUGACUUCCAUCCGCACAUUUUCGGUUGGGAAUGCUCUGAUACCAUUUGUAACGACCCGCCCCGACCUCCACAGGGCAAAUCUUACUGAUAGAUGUUUAAAAAUAAAAUAAUAAUAAAUAAGAAUAAUCCUUUUACAAUCCAUAAAAAUCAUAUCCUUGAAAAUACAAAUAUAAAACGCAAACUGCAGCAGAAGAAUUUAAAAUUCAUGCCAAACCAUCUAAUUUCUCCAUUCAAGUUCUUCUCGACGCUCAUCACGAAUCAAUCCUGAUUUACGGAAACUGAAUCACAAUAAACUAUAAUGAGUACGAAACUCAGUAAGUAAACUAGUUUUGCAUAUACCAAAAUACAUACAUACAUAUAUAUAGUGCACAUGAAUGACGUGCCAUGAUAUUCGAAAACAUCGUAAAACAAAUCAUCGAAAUCUCAUUCUGUCUUUCUCAAACUUUCACAAUCUCUUUCAAAUCACUUACUUGAACUACUUUCAUUCAAUUACCGCUUAGUAGGACACUCUCUUAACUUUCAUAACUUUCAUACUCUUUGGGCUUCUCGCCAAUGCGUCCUUCGCCCACUUAUCUUAAAACUAUAUAAACAUCUAGAGUAUCCUCCACUAAGCCAGUAACUAAUUCAAGCAUCCAAGCUAAAACUAUAAAACAAUCUUUCUUUCUUCAAAUUUCGUUUGCUAAAAUCAACUUUCUCAUUUUACAGAAAAUAUAAUGCAUUUUUGUGCUCAUGCCAAUGAAAUAUUCACACAUACGUAUGCCCAUGUCCAUAAAUACACAUAACAACAUAUCAUAUCAACACAUCACAUAAACACAUGGGCAAAACAUAUAAAUCAAUAUUCGGACAUAUACAAAAAUAGGCUUUUCAAACAUGUCAAACAUAUAUAUUGUUUAUUGUGAUUCGUUUGGAAAUCUAAUUUACUUACCUCCUGGCAUCCUCGAGUAACAAAUGCAUAUCGUUAUCAUCGGCGUAAAAAUAAAUAAAAAUACUCUCAUAAGAAUAAAAUUAAACCAUAAUCAUAAACUCCAAUAUUCUCAAAUUCUCAAUAUAAUCACAUUCCAUACUUAACCUCAAAUAAUCUUAAUUUAAAUCAUAAAUCAUCAAAAUACUCAUAAUUCUUGAAAUUACGAAAUUACCCCCAAAUUUCAAAAUUACCAAAAUGCCCUUGAAUUCAAUAUUACCAAAAUACCCUCAUAUAUCAAAAUUACCAAAUUAACCUCAAAAUCAUAAAUUACCAACUUUAUCCUCAAUUUCAGCAAUUACUAAAAUACCCACAAAAUCUGAAAUUACAAAAUUGCCCUUAGACUGUGAAAUUGCCGAAAUACCCUUGCCGGUCAACGGUCACCGGAAUUUGGUCAACACUGGCCAGGAAGCUCAAAUCUUAAAGUGCUAAUCACGCUGAGUUCAAUGGUGGCGGUGAUGACCUCCCACGCGCGGUGAUGGCUCCGGAUUGAGCUCCCGAAGUCGUGAAACUGUCAACGGCCGAUCAAUGGCAAAACGACGUCCCCGGCGUCAGUGGUUAGUCAGAAAUGGCAGAGGAAAAGGUAAGGAACAAAACCCAAGUACUGGCUUCACCGGAAACCGGUGAAAUCACGGCGAAUCGAGGCGGCGAUUCCGCGGAACUUCAAAGCUUCGAUCGGUGGCUUUCCGAUCGAUUUCCGGCGGCAAGGACGGCAUGGAUACAUUGCUCGUCUCUCAAGCUUCAAAUCUGUACCAACCUUGACCGGAACGGUGGCCGGAAAUGGGAGAACCAGCCGGGUCGUGCUCGCGGGUCGGGUUGGAUCCGGUUCGGUUUCUCUUCUCUCUCUCUUCUCUUCUCUCUUUCCUUUCUCUCUCUCUCUCUCUCUCUCUCUCUCUCUCUCUCAAUUUAUAUGGGUGGUCAACAGGGUCAAAAUCGGGUGUGGGGUAUUACAUCGAACCUGUAACAAUAUAGCACUUAAUUACUGUAACUAACAUAAAUUGAACUUUCCGUUUACACGAAAAGCCAAUUCAAUAGGAGUUGCCUUGCAAUUUUAGGAAGUAUUUAAAUAAUUUGUCUAUUAUAUAUGUCAGCAUUACUCCAUCAGCUUACAACUAAUAAUCUGAAAGCUAUAUACAUGGAUACUUUCAACAAACCCUCUUAGCCACUUGGCCUUUAGUAUGAGUGGUGAACCACUACCCUCAAAGUUAAGCAUGAUUAUGAGGAUAGUGGUUCGAGUUUCUAUGGACUCAACAACUCUUAAGUAAUUAUAAUUGUGUGGAGUUAAUUUAUAAGUUUUUCUCCAUUGCGAAAUGCAAGUGAAGUAUAGACAUCCUUCGUCUGCGAGGGUUUUUUGUCUGGGCAUGUACUUCAUAGAAUUUAUGGUGCGUUUACUUGUCAGAUUGGGGAAUCGGAAUCUGGAAUCGAAAUGAUUGAUGCUGCUUACUUCGCAAAUAUGGAGCAUGAAUCAGAAUCGGAAUCGGAAUGGUGGGGCCCACCACUAUUUGGGAAUGGGGAAUGAGAGAUUGAUUCCCAUGGGGGGAGGUGGGAAUGAGUCUUCAAUUCCCGGGAUUGACCAUUUUGCCCUCCCCAAAAUUAAAAAUGCCCACUUUGUCCUCUUUUAUAAUUAAUUAAUAUAAUAUUAUAAUUAAUUAAUUAAUAUUAUUAACUAUAAUUAUUAAAAAUUAUAGUUCUUGAAUAAAUAAUCACAAUAAUUAAUAUAUUAUUAUUAUAGUUAAUUAAUUAAUUAUUACUAUUAAUUAAUAUAUUAACAUAUUAUUAAUAAUAAUUAAUAAUAAUAAUAAUUUUUGAAUAAAUAAUCACAAUAAUCAAUUUAUAUUUAUUAUUUUUAUUUUAAUUAAUGAAUUAAUGUACUAUUAUAAUAAUUAUUAAUAUAAUUAAUUUAUAUAUUAUUAUUAUUAAUGAAUUAAUAUAAUUAUUACUAUUAAUUAAUAAAUUAAUAUAUUAUUGUUUCUUGAAUAAAUAAUCACAAUAAUUAAUAUUAUUAUUAUUAAUUAAUUAAUAUACUAUUAUCAUAAUAAUUAUUAUAAUUAAUUCAUAGAUUAUUAUUAAUUAAAUAAUAGAUGUAUUACUACUAAUUAAUAUAUUAAUAUAUUAUUAACAAUAAUUAUUAAUAAUUAUAAUUUUUGAAGAAAUAAUCACAAUAAUUAAUAUAUUAUUUUAAUUAAGUGAUUAAUAUUAAUAUUAUUAGUUAAUAUAUUUUUAUAAUAAUUUUUAUUAUAGUUAUUAUAAUUAAUUAAAAAAAUUUACAAUUAAUUAAUAUAUAAGUUAAUAAUUAUUAUGACAAUAAUCCAUUAAGUACUUUUUAGUAAUUUGUUACAAUCUAAUUCAUUCCGAUUCCGAUUCCAAGACAAAGUAAACACAUUAAUGGCAAUCCAACUCAUUCCAAUUUCGAUUUCUACAGUUCAAGUAAACAACUUAUUUUGAUUCUCAUUCCCUAUUCCUAUUCCAGCCCAUUCUGAUUCCUACCCAUUCCGAUUCCAGCUCAUUCCAAUUCCAGUUUAAUAAACGCAACAUUAAUGUAAUGAUGUAAGUCCUAGGCGAAAUGCAAGUGGAGCAGAGACAUCUCUCGUCUGUGAGGGUUAUUUAUCUGGACAUGUACUUCAUAAAAUUUAAUGUAAUAAUGUGUGUCUCAAUUAUAUAUCUGAUUGUAAAUAUAAGUGUAAUGAUCUGUUGUAAUAACACUUAUAAAUAUAUGUGUAAUACAAUAUUCUAAUGUCAAUAUUCAAAAAAAAAAAAAACCCUCUUAGUGUUACCCACAUUUUUCUUGCUUCUUUGGUCUUCUUAAAAGAUGAAGUGAAAUAGACUAAAGACGAGGGUAAAUGUUCGUUUAGUCCUUAUAUUUUGUAUUAAAACUUGUUUAGUGUCUAUAUUUUGAAAAAUACAUAAUCCUUUUUUUUGAAUAUGUGAUAUUCAUGCCCUUAUUUUUUUUUUUUUUACUAUAACUCUUACUACAAUUUAAAAUAAUAUUUGAAGAUUUUAAUUAAGCCUCAAUGAUUCAUUUUUUUUAGUUUCAUCUUCAAAAUGAAUUAAAGAAUUUAUUUGAGAUAAGUCCUACAGAAAGUAAACUUUUAUAUUUAUAAUAUCAUUGGAGUUAUUAGAAACAGCCCCAAUAAAAUGUUUGGAUAAUUUACUAACCAGAAAUAGACUUUGGCUUUAAGAAUAACUAAAAUAUAUUUAUUUAGUUAAAAUAACUGAAAUAUUUUGCUUGGUAGGGGUAAUUAAAAUAAAUGUAAGUUAAAUAAUUAUGGCCUUCUUGGAAUAUUAUUAUUAUGAAAUUAAAAGAGAGAUAGGUUUUCAAAAUAAUUUACAGUCGUUAAGAUCCAUUGACUUUUUUAAUAUUAAAUUUAAUGAUCCCAAUGUAGGAUCACUACUGAGCACAUGACAAAGUACCAACGAAAGUGUUCCACUGCCUCAUCGUUUCUCUCUAUAAAUAGAGCAUUUGUGUCUUGAGGUUUUUGCAACUCCUAUUCUUAAAAACAAACUAUAUAGUUGUAUUUGGUUUGUCUGAAACGGAAUGAAAGAUAUGUCUAUUCCACUUCUAGCAGCAGUUUCCAGUUCAACUGAAGAAACUGUUCGUCCCAUAGCAGAUUUUCAUCCACUACUAGAAAAAUGAGUUUUACUGACACUAAUUUAGCGUCAGUAAUUACUUUUAUUGACACUUGUUAAUUGUGUCAGUGUUGCUCAAGCCAGAACACACUGACACUAAUUUUUAGUGUCAGUAAUUUUUGUGUCAGUAAUUUGUUUCACUAUAGUAUCACUAAAAUAAUGACACGAUGAUGUUGGUAUUUAAUGAUACUAUUUACAUGUCAGUGAUUUAUGUGACUAUAGUAUCAAUAAUAAGCUAGCUCGAUAAUAUAAAAAAUUAUUAAUGUCAAUUUAAAUAUUUAGUGUCAGUAUUUAAUAAUGUUAUGCAGGAUUGGUUAAUAAAUUUUUUUUAUUCUAAUUAUAUUUUUCCUGAAUGUUUUACAACCAAAAGAAAGCUCAAAAUAUAUUAAAUAUAUAAAAUGUCACAAUAUAAUUCACAUAAUAAACAUCCCAAAUACAUCACUCAAAUUCACAUGAUUCAACUACACCACUAUCUGGAAAAGAAAAAUAUAAGUACUAAAUUAAGUUUUCAACAACCACAAAGUACUAAUUUAGUUUCCACCAAAAAGAAGCACAAGAACAUCACUCAACAUCCAUCUGCAGCUUCAUUUUUUUCCCACCUACAACAACAUAAAAUCAAUUAGUAUGGAAAUAGAUUAUCGAAAACAAAUUGAUUGUGAGUAGUUAAACAGAGCAAUUGAAGGAUGUUUCAACAACUAAUAAAACAAUAAGAAAUAAGAUUACAAUAAUACUGAAAGUUAUAGAAAUAAAGAACCUUAGCUUAAGUUGUCUGAAGAAACCAUGUUGGAUAACCUGCUACAAGUCACAGAAAACAAAACAUCUAAGUCAAUCUAAUUAAAAACUUCCUAUUUUUUAUAAUCAAACAACAGAAAUCUGCAAUCAAAACAUCCAUUUGCCCACUCAAACUUUCAGCCUUAGCAUAAACUUCUUUCACUUUAAUCUCAUAAAACUUGUCAAAUUUAUGAAACUCUCAUCAAGCCUUCUAAAAAACUACCGCUCUCAUUCCCCUCCUUCCUCAACAAUCCUCAAAAGUAUUUUCAUUGCAAAAUAGCCCAAAAAAAUUAUAGGAGUUGUUUUGACUUUAGAAUAGCAACAAAACAGCCCCGGGAAAUCUGUAGGGGCUGUUGUGCAGUGAAAACAGCCACUAGAAAUUUACAGGGGCUGUCUUGUUGCUGUUCUAUAGUAGAAACAGCCCCUGCAAAUUAACACUUUCAAAUGAAUUAGAAAAGAAAAUAAUGUUACCUAUGAUAGUCAUCAUUGUUGAAGUCAUAGCAGAUAGCCUGCAAAUUAACAAUAAUAACAGCAUUUACAUCAGUUUAUGAAACUGCUUUUAUUGGUUUUUUUUUUUUGCAAGGAUAUGUAUAUAAAUAAUAGUGCAUUUAAACUUACAUAUAUAAUGCAUCUUAGACCAGCCAUUAAUGUGGUAUAGUUUUUGUAAAGUACCCUAUUUACCUCAGAAACUUCAUUUUCCUCUAUGCCAAGAUUUUGAAUUAUCUAUUAUACACAAAGUAAAUUUAUAGAAACUAGUUAUACAUUUGUUAAACAAAUAAACAACUUAAAUGACAAAAGUUUACUAACUGAAUAGAAAUGCACCAAGGUCAUUAUAAAUUGGCACUACUUACUGAAAUGAUCAACAACAUUGACACUAACACCUCAUACAUAAAUUCAGAUUUUAAGCGUAUAAAGAGAGUUCAAAUGAAUGAUUGCUUAUACAUUUUAUAACAGAUUUUACAACAAUAAAGUAGAUAAAUGGCAACUCUACUAGAGGUAUGUUUCUAGUAUAAGGAAUCAAGCAUAAGUAAAGGAGCAAGGUAGUAUCUUAUCAUCCGCAUAAUCAACACACCAUGACAGAAAUCGAAUCAAAUAAAUACUACGAGUGCCGAAUGGAAGAAAGAAAUUAAAACAUUUUCUGUAAAAUAUUAUUAUUAAUCAAUAACAUGUCUUAAUAUAAAGCGAAAAGUUUCCGAUGAUAAUAUAAAUAUCCAAAACUAUAUAGUCAAAUACUCAAAAGCUGAAACCAAAAUAUCAGAAAAAAAUUUAUAAAAGCAAUAACAUGUGAUGUCUUAUCAUUUACAUUUUUCGAUAAACAUACUUGCCGCAUGCGAAGCACGGGACAUCCUCAAGCCUGGCAAGUCAUUGACGACAUGGUUUCCCUUAUUUGCCGCUUAUGCAAAGGUGAAACGCUACCUCAUUCUUUAAAACACAUCAAAGUUUGCUGUCUUCUCCAGCCAUAUUUCAAUCUGAAAAGGAGCAUUACAAGAGCAACAAUCAGCUCCUGAAUGUGAUAUUAUAAAAAGAAUUCUGUAUCACAUAUAUCCAAAUGACCUGAACAUCAACACAAAAUAUUAAUCAUCCUAGAGGGAAAUCAACAUUGCUGACAAAACCACGUCUACCAAAUAUAAUGUACACAGAAUUAUCCAAAAAUAUGAUGACCUAAGAUCCUCCAAAUCACCAGCUUUAAAUAAAAAAGUCCCCCCAAAUCACCAUCAAAAUUUGACUACACUGGGAGAAUGACGAAGAAGCAGAAAAUCAAAAAGAAAAAGCUAUAUCGUCCAUUCUUGCAAUUUCUGAAAAUGAAGGAAUAUGAAGAGGACCAUCCACAGCAGGUUUUUAUGUUGCACGUAUGAUACAUUAGUAAACCAUGCAGAAAUUGAAAGAAAGCACAAAAAGAUAAAGCAUCCAUUUACCUUGGCUUUCUGGACGGGUCAUCCUCGAGAUUCAUCCCUUAUAUCAACUGUCGAGGUCAUGAUCUCUGCAAGAGUACAUGUUAAUUACUGAACAAAUUGAAACUUCAUGGGUGGGGUAAAAGAUGUCUUAACUGGAAAUUAGAAAAUCUUACUCUUCUCAACAGCCAAACCAUUGUUUUUCAGAAUUUCAGCAACUGUGACAACUGUGGCAAUAGCUGCAGAAAUAACGAGAAAAAAGAAGCUUUAAGCGCAGAAUAAGCCAUCAUAAACAUUAUGUCAGAACAAAGUAAGAAAGACUUGUUUGAGCCCAGUAAUGGCAUUGGCAUGGACUAGAUGGAAUAAAAUGCAUUCAAAUGAAAGCUAAUUCGAGCACAAGUAUGUUUAUCGAAAAAUGUAAAUGAUAAGACAUCACAUGAUAUUGAAGAAAUCAGGAGCAAUAAAAACUGUUCACAGGAUAAAUUAAAAAGUGGAAUCUCAACUCACUGUCUCAGGCGGCCGGCGCGAUGGCGACGGCUGAACGCGGCUGCAAAAGCAAUAAUUUAGACUGGAGGGUGAGAUGGUGACUAGAGACGGAGAAAGUGAGAGCGACUAAACGAGCGUGAAAGAGAGGGGUUGUUGCUGCUGUGUGUGCCUUCAGAGAGAGAGUGAAAGCGAGCGAGCUACUGCAGUGUGUGGUGCGACCCGCUGGGCUGCCGCCGCCGCCGCCGCCGCGUGGGCUGCGUGUGCCGUUGUCAUCGUGCGUGCUACUAAGGCCUUAGAGAGGGGCUGCCGCUGGUUAGCGCUUAGGGAGAGUUAGGGAUUUAGGCACUUGGAAUUUUAGGGAUUUGGAUUUUAGUUUGUUUGAGAGGGAACAAAUUUUGGUGGAGGGAGAUCGAAAAUUUUGUGUUAAAUUAUAGCAAAGGGUUUGUAGUUAAUUAUAUACGGUUUAACCAAACAAAGAAAAUAUGCACACAAGUGGUUUGUAGUUUGAAAUUAAAAUUUUAACUUCGGACAUAUUGAGUUCGAGUCCAAGUAAAAACAUAAUUAGAAUUAUAUUUGUUUUUAUCACUGAUACUAAAGUAUCAGUAAUUACUGAGUUUUAUGCUACUGACACUUUAGUACCAGUGAUUUAUGAUACAUAUUUGUUAAAUGGAAAAAAUGAUCCAAAUGUAUAACAUUACUGACACUUUUUACGAAGUGUCAGAAACGAAGUGUCAGUAAAGGUCAUUUUUGUAGUAGUGCUACUUUAUGGGGAAACCAUUUCCUGAAAUCCGCUGCCGAUGUCGAGGUAAUUAAAAAAUUGCAAUAUCAAAAUAUCUCAUUAAUUAUCAGAGAAGCAAGCCCAAUCGAUGUACAAUCAUAUGUCAUAUGUAAUCGUUUGUUAGACAUACGUAAUGCAUUAAUAUUAAGUAAUUUCUUGCGUUUGCAGACAAUUGACGCUGCAACUCAAGAACAGCACGCAGCACUGAAGCAAGAGGUCAGGAGGAUGAUAACCACUACUGCCAAUAAGCUUGCCCAAAAACUACACAUGAUUGAUGCAGUACAACGAUUAGGUGUCGCUUAUCAUUUUGAAAAAGAGAUUGAAGAUGAAUUGGGAAAGGUAUCUCAUGAUCUUGACAGUGAUGAUCUAUACGUUGUUUCUCUUCGUUUUCGACUUUUUAGACAGCAAGGAGUUAAGAUUUCAUGUGGUAUGUAAUAGUUUCUCAUUUUGUUAAUUAAACUAUUUAUGUUAAUUACAAGAUUAUUGUUGAUUAUCAAAUUAAAUUUAAGCAUGUACACUAAUCGAGACUAGCUCGCCUCUUUUGAACAUGGUCAUUAGAUGUGUUUGAUAAGUUCAAAGAUGAUGAAGGUAAAUUCAAGGAAUCAUUGAUCAACGAUAUACGAGGCAUGUUGAGUUUGUACGAGGCAGCAUACCUAGCAAUUCGGGGGGAAGACAUUUUAGAUGAAGCCAUUGUUUUCACUACCACUCACCUUAAGUCAGUAAUAUCUAUAUCUGAUCAUUCUCAUGUAAACUCUAAUCUUGCUGAACAAAUACGUCAUUCUCUGCAAAUUCCUCUCCGUAAAGCCGCAGCAAGGUUAGAGGCAAGGUAUUUUUUGGAUAUCUAUUCAAGGGAUGAUUUGCAUGAUGAAACUUUGCUCAAGUUUGCAAAGUUAGACUUUAAUAUAUUACAAGCAGCACACCAGAAGGAAGCAAGUAUCAUGACCAGGUAACUUUAUAUAUAUUCUUUCAACGUGGAAAAGCCUAUUAUUGGUGUUGUUUUGAAAUGGGAGAUUGUCACUUUCCCUAGAAAGAGAAAUCAUAUUUUACCAGUUGCCCCCUUGUAUAAUCAAAGGCUCAAGGCAAAAUAUCUUAUAAUAGUUAUUAUUAUUAUUUAUUUAUUAACACCAAACCAAGAUUUUUAGUUUGCAGUAAAAUUUUUAUGUAUUCUAGAUUUGUCAACAGUGGUAGUGGUUGUAGUUUUUGUAUAUUAUGUGCUUGUUGCUAAUAAUAAUAAUAAUAAGUUAUAGUGUUUGGAGGAUAUUGUGUAUAAUGAAAGAGUAAUGAUACAAUUAUAAUUUUUUUUAAGAACGGAUGUGAUAUAAAUUCAUAGAUUAGAUGAAAAUACAAAAUAAUAAAAAUAAAUUAAGUAAAUUUCUCUCUCUCUCUUUUUAAUGAAACAAAUUUUCCAAAUAUAAUAUGGAAGAUUUCCAACUUCUCUUUAAAAUUUUUAGCUUUUGUCACUCAUCCCUCGAGUUUUCAUAAUUCGCUUGCUACCUCCUUAAAAGAUGAAACCAAAUUGUGUUCUUCUUUGUAUUUCUUAUAUACUACAGAACUAACGAUUGUUAUAGUGACAACUUUAUAAUGUAGCAAAAUAUCUAUCUAAUUAGAUUUAAAAUUGAAUUUCAGGUGGUGGAACGAUUUAGGCUUCCCUAAAAAGGUGCCUUAUGCAAGAGAUAGAAUAAUAGAGACAUAUAUCUGGAUGUUGCUGGGAGUGUCCUAUGAGCCCAAUUUGGCAUUUGGUAGAAUUUUUGCAUCCAAAGUGGUUUGCAUGAUAACCACAAUAGACGACACAUUUGAUGCUUACGGUACUUUUGAAGAGCUCACACUUUUUACUGAAGCAGUCGCAAGGUUAUAAAACCAUAUACAUCCCUACACAGCAGUUGUUAAGUUGCAUUAUCUGUAUUCUAUAGGUUACAAUAACCUAAAUAAUGGGGACAUCAUGAGUGACUAUUAGGGUUGCUGCAGGUUAUACAUGAUGUAACUUAGUAAGACCCCAUCCCUAUAUAAUAAAAGAUUAUUAUCGUUUCAUUACUUCAAGAAUUAUAAAAUAUUAGAUAAGUACAAGAAGUAUUAUUUUCCACCGUUUUACUACUAUAACUUUGUAAAACCUUUUAUUUUACUACUUUUUUGUUAGAAUCGUUAGCUGACUAAUAAAAUAGUAAUUUUACCCUUUAAGAUAAAAUGCACAAAAGAGGUAUCCAAUAGUAUACAUAAAAUUAUGAAUAUUAGUUUUAAACAUGAAUUGUUAAAUAAUAGUUUUAACCAUAAUUUUUUGAAUAACACUUGAUUUAUUGCGAGCAUAAAAGUAGUGAAUUGACAAAAAUACCCCUAUAAUUUUUUGCCCAAAAAAAAAUCACAAUCUAUUCUAGAAAAAAAAAUUAAAUAUGGAAGUGUUGAUUCUGUAAAUAAGCUUUAAGUGUUUUUUUUAAAGAAUAAAUUGUGUGUUUUUUUAUGAAAAAUAUCCAGGAGUAUUUUGUUAAUGCACCAUUUUUAUAGUUAUGAUAAAUUUAGGGGUAUUCAUAAAGUCAUGGUUAAAACCAUUAUUUUAAAAUUAAAGGGCAUGCCAAUAAUUUUUGUCUAUUAUUUGAUACCUCUAUUUGUGUAUUUUAUCAUAAAAGGAAAAAUUGAUAUUUUAGUAAUUAACUAAUGGUUUUAACGAAAAAAUAGUAAAAUGAUAGGAGAUAAUACUUCUUAUAGUCAUUUGAUAUUUUACAACUCUUGAAGUGGUGAAACAAUAAUAACCCUAUAAUGUAAUUCUUUGAUUGGAUAUUUAAUUCAUAAUAUACUUUUAUUAGAAACAAAUUAAUUGUAUCGCUUAUAUAUUUUCUUAAGAACGUGCAAAUAUAUCGAUUAUAUUUGAUUUUUUCAGAUGGGACAUUGGCCUCAUAGAUACACUGCCAGAAUACAUGAAAUUUAUUGUCAAGGCACUCUUAGAUAUUUAUAGAGAAGUUGAGGAAGAAUUGGCAAAGGAAGGAAGAUCGUACGGCAUACCAUAUGCAAAACAGAUGGUUAGCAAUUACUUUAUUAAUAAUCAAUUUCAUGUUAUUUGAUUUUGCAAGGUGGUUAUUAUUGACUUGGGCUAUGUUGCUCAGAUGCAAGAAUUAAUUAUUUUGUACUUUACCGAAGCCAAGUGGUUAUAUAAAGGUUAUGUUCCAACCUUCGAUGAAUACAAAUCAGUUGCAUUAAGAAGUAUCGGUUUACGUACGCUAGCGGUCGCUUCCUUCGUUGAUUUGGGUGAUUUUAUUGCAACGAAGGACAAUUUUGAAUGCAUUCUUAAAAACGCUAAGAGUCUUAAAGCGACAGAAACCAUUGGCAGGCUCAUGGAUGACAUAGCAGGUUAUAAGGUAAAUAAUACUCUUCAUUCUACAUUAUAAUUCAAUUCAAUAAGACUAUAUUCACCACUAAUCUCCAAGAGAAAUUUUGUAACGUAUCUUAAGGCGUGUCACCAUAGUAUACAAUUUCUUUAUCUAUUUUAAAGGUAGAAAUGCGGGUGAAGCCCACAUCAAUUUUUCUAACACCUAGCUUCUCCAGAUUCAAACUUAGAAAUUGUCAAUAAAAUAAAGAUUGUUGAAAACCAUUCCGCCUUUGAGGGUGCAUUUCUUUUCAACUCUCUUUAACACAUAACAACACAAAACAUAACAUAACAUAACAUAACAUAUAUGCCCAACGAAAAAAACCAAAAAAAAAUUAGCUAACUGAUGAUUUUUUUUUUUUUUUGGUUCUCUUAUAACCAAUUCAUAUGCAUCCGUGAUGUAGUUUGAGCAGAAGAGAGGACAUAAUCCCUCAGCAGUUGAGUGCUACAAGAAUCAACAUGGCGUCUCCGAGGAAGAGGCAGUUAAAGAGUUGUUGUUAGAAGUUGCUAACAGUUGGAAAGAUAUAAAUGAGGAGCCUCUCAACCCAACGACUGUCCCGUUACCUAUGCUUCAACGGCUUCUUUAUUUCGCACGUUCAGGCCAUUUUAUCUACGACGAUGGUCAUGAUCGCUACACCCAUUCAUUGAUGAUGAAACGCCAAGUUGCCUUGUUGCUGACGGAACCCCUUGCGAUCUGAAGAUUAACGUCAUGCUAUUGAUUUUCCAUCGGAUAUAUUUGAGCAGUUGUAAUAAAUGAAGGUCUCGCUGGCUAUUUAGCUAGCUACUCAUGCCUGGCUAAUAAAUGUGUCGCCAAAUAAUAUGGUUUCAAAUUGUGGUCCUUUUAGUUAAAAAAUUAAUAAUAAAAUAUUUUUCUUCUAAUUUCUUUAUUAUUUUAUAAACAUUUUCUUAUAAUAAAUAUACAAUAUAAAAUAUAAAAAGCACAAGAAAGAUAUCUUAUUAUUAAUUUUUUAUUCACAUCAAAACAUAUAUAUGUGUAUAUAUAUCUUAUUUAUAAUAUUAAAUUUUUUAUUUUAAUUUCUAUUUAAAUCAUUUAUUUAAUUUAUAAUAAAUAUGAAUAAAAGUGUAUUUGAAAAUAAGAAUGAUACUGUAAAAUUAUACUGCCGGCGGAUUAUUGAUUAUUAAGAAAACAAUAACGGGUUAGUGGUAUAUAUUAAUUUCAAUAGGGGGAAAUUGGCAAUCUCCCAAUUGAAAUUUUGGUCAUAUAACCAUUGAAUUAGCAAUCUCAAUUUAAAGGAUUAAAUUAAAAAUUAUCAAUUUAUGACAUUUAUUAUAUUUUUAUUUAUUAAUUAAAAUUAUUUGCUUAAUUAUUUAUUUCAGUUAUUCUUGAUUUUUUUAAUUUUAUUGCUAAAUUAACAUUAAUUUUAUUUAGUUAUUCUUGAUUUUUUUUUAUUUUAUUGAUAAAUUAACAAUAAUUUCAUAUCAAUGUAUCAAGAAGCGUAUAAUAGUAAAUGAAAAAUUAUUAGGUUUUUUAUUACCCUUUAUCUAUGGGGAGGAAACAAGUAAUUGCAAAUCUAGUUGGAAUGUAAAUAAUUAAAAAUGGAUCUUUCAAGGACGAAACUUUUCCUCCAAUCUAAAUAAUAUUCAUUAUCUGUUUAUAUAUUAAUUUAUUGGUGCAAGUUUGUGUUGAGAAUCAUAUAAAACGGCAUUAAAUGAAACUUUAAAAACAGAAUCUGCACUUGUCAAAGGGGUAAUCUGCACUUGUCAAAGACAAGAUCCGCGCCGAACGGAUUGACACAUUUCCUUCCGUAUUCACACAUGUAAUCUUUGAAAAAAUGUAGCCGCUGCAUCUAUAAAUAACUCUAAAUGUAUAAUGCUUUAUUUAAGAAAUGAAAACACGUUUCUUCAUGGUAUCAGAGCCAUGAAUACGCUCAAGUUUCUUCAAGUUCCGUUGCUCUGUUUGUAACAAAAACAGAGGAAACCAAAUUCCUCCCACAACCAUUUUUCCCACCAUUUUCUUUCUUAAACCCAUUCCUACCAUUACAGAUAUCCAUGCCGAUCAAGAAACGAGCCACCCAUACGUAAAAAACUUGAGUUUACAAAUUUAUCAACAAACCCAUCAAUUUUCCGAGAGUGUGUUCCUCAAAAACCAAGAACACCACCAAAUUUCUCAGUUUUCAGUGAGGAAACUGUAAAAAUUUUGCAUUUAAACACAAUCCCACGCGCUCACACGCGCCACCCGAAGCCACGGCCAGUCAACCACGCGCCUCUGUCAUCAUUCACGCGCUCUCACGCGCUCCAAAGGUUGAAGACGACGUCAGCCGACAUGUCAUUUUUAUCUCAGAAGUGCAGCAGUAAAAAAACGACGUGUCAUUUUUUUGUUAUACUAAAACCGACAUGUCGUUUUUAAAUUAGAGAUAAAACGACAUGACGCUUAGUCUCCAGAAGCGCAGCAGGAUUAAAACGACAUGUCGUUUAUAUUCCACCAUAACCGACAUGUCGGUUUUGUAAGCAGUGGCCAAACGACCUGUCGUUUUGUUACCUAAAAAGGUUAUUUUUUUUCCUUCUUUCAAUCUAGACGAAAAAAAAAAACAAAAAAAAACAAAAAAAAACAAAAAAAAAACAAAAAAAAAACAAAAAAAAAAAAGAAAAAAAAGAGAAAAAAGAAAAAAAAAAUAGAGAAAACUCCAACUGAAUCUAGUCCUGUUGUUAUUCAAUCCGUUCAAUCUGAUGGAGUAUUUAAUGCUGGAAUUAUCCUAACUGAGACAAACUACGAUGUUUGGUCUCAAAUAAUGGAGAUGCAUCUUGCAGAAAGAGAAAAACUCUCAUAUAUUCGUAACAACACAAAGCCAUUUGAGGAAUCUUCAAAGGAAUAUGAGAAAUGGUAUAGUGAGAACCAAAAAGUAAAAAGAUGGUUACUCAUAUCCAUGUCUCCGGAGAUCAUGAAGCGAUAUUUACGAAUUCCUACAACCUACGAAAUCUGGGAUGCAUUAUCAAAAGCCUUCUAUGAUGGAAGCGAUGAAUUACAAGUUUUCACUCUAAACCAGAAGGCAUUCUCUACCAAGCAAAAUGGACAACCACUCUCUAAAUUCUAUGGAGAAUUGGUCGAAAUAUUUCGAGAACUUGAUCACCGAGAUAAAGUGGUCAUGAAGGAUCCAGAAGAUGUUGUAAUAUACAGAAGGUCUGUUGAAAGAUUGAGAGUGCACAUUUUUCUUGUUGGGCUAGAUGAAGAAUUUGACCAAGUUCGUGGAGAAAUUCUACGAAAAGACAUUAUCCCAGACUUAGAAGAAUGUUAUUCUCUGAUCCGAAGAGAAGAUAUACGGCAAAGCAAACUAAACAAGAAGGUCGACUCAGAAACGUCUGCUAUGAUAGCACGACAGCAACCUCAAAGGAAGUUUGUUGACAAGUCAUCACUCCAUUGCACUCAUUGUAGAAAGAAGGGUCAUACGAAAGAACAAUGUUUUGAAAUCAUUGGAUAUCCUGACUGGUGGGAUACUCGAAAGAAGAACACCAAGCAUGGAUCAAAAACUGCAGUAUCCACAUCCACUACAGAUCUUAGAAAAGAAUCUUCAGUGCAAAUCGCAACCUCUGUCAGUCCAGGUAAGGCCCUUAAAACUCUUACACCUGUUAUUAAUAGUACAUGGAUAAUUGAUUCUGGGGCAACUGAUCAUAUGACUUUUGAUUCUCGACAAGUUUCUCAAUUGAAACUAUCUUCACAAAAACAUAUUUCCACUGCAAAUGGAACUACAACCUCAGUUAUUGGGGAAGGAUCUUUACGACUCACAAAUGAAUUAAAUUUAGACGCUGUGUUAAUUGUUCCAUCUUUAGAUUAUAAUCUUUUAUCUGUGUCUCAAUUAACCACUUACUUAUCAUGUGUUGUAAUUUUUUGGCCUGAUCAUUGUGUGUUUAAGGACAUCCAAACGAAGCAAACGAUUGGUUAUGGUAUUAGACGAGGCAACUUGUACUACUUGGAGAUGUCAUCAACAAACACUGGAAAGCUAAGCCCUGCACUAGUCGCAGAUAGUUCCAUAAAAAAAGGGAAAUCAGAAAUUUGGUUAUGGCAUAGACGUUUAGGGCAUGUGUCAUUUGGUUACUUAAAAAAAUUAUUUCCUAGUUUGUUUCUGAAAUUUGAUGUUUGUAACUUUAAAUGUGAUGUUUGUGAACUUUCAAAAUGCCAUCGAACUACUUUUCCAUUGUCCUUAAAUAAAAAUCCAGUUCCUUUUAUGGUAGUACAUUCUGAUGUAUGGGGGCCAUCUAAAGUUUCUACAAUUGGAGGUGCUCGUUGGUUUGUUACAUUUAUUGAUGAUUGUAGCAGAAUGACAUGGAUUUUUCUGAUGAAAUCGAAAGACGAAGUAAACUCUUUAUUUCAAAGAUUUCAUAAGAUGGUGACAACUCAAUUUCAGACACAAAUUUGAGUUCUACAUACUGAUAAUGGAGGCGAGUAUAUGAGCACAGCAAUUCAACAGUUUCUGAAAUCACAAGGAUCUGUCCAUCAAACCACUUGUGUGGGGACACCCCAACAAAAUGGCGUUGCUGAACGAAAAAACAGACAUUUACUAGAAGUUGUUCGAGCAUCACUAAUCCAAGCCCACAUGCCAUUAUCUUAUUGGGGAGAAGCACUGGCAUCCGCAGCAUACUUGAUCAAUCGAACACCUUCAAGCUCCCUUGGAUUCCAGACUCCUUUCCAAGUUCUGAAUGAUGCAAUUAUGUCACCAAAUGUGCCGAAUCUGCCCCCACAUGUGUUUGGCUGUGUUGCCUUCGUUCAUUUGCCGCAACAAGACAAAUUAUCUCCUCGAGCACUACGUUGUGUGUUUGUAGGGUAUGCCUUAUAUCAAAAGGGAUACCGAUGCUAUCAUCCACCAUCAAGAAAAAUAUACAUCACCAUGGAUGUCGUUUUUCAUGAAGAUAUCAUGUACUACUUGUCAGAGUCUGAAUUUCAGGGGGAGUAUAAUGAAGAGGAAAUUCAUACUCUUACAUAUCUUCCACCUGAAGAAAGUCAAUCUUCCAUUGAGAUAGUAAACCUUCAAGAUACAGGAAAAGCAAAUGGUGAUGAUUCGCAGGCUGAGAUAUGUGAAGACACAUUUGGGGAGCACAAUAACUCAGACACAACUGCAAUCGAGAAUGAGUCACAUGAAGAAAUACCUAACCAAUCGUCUGCAGAGGAUGUUCCUACCACAAGUCCGAUCAGAAGAAUUCUUCCCCAGCGUAAAAAUAGAGGUAUCCCUAAACCCACAUAUGAGCCUGACUUCUCUAGUAGAGUCAAAUACCCUAUGAGUCAUUUUGUGUCUAACCAUCGCUUGUCAGAAUCAAAUCAGUCAUUUGUGAAUCAAUUAUCUGCUGUAGCUAUUCCUAACAGUGUGCAGGAAGCUUUAAAAGAUCCAAAGUGGAAAGUGGCUAUGAAUGAUGAAAUGAGAUCUCUUCAGAAAAAUCAAACAUGGGAACUAGUUGAUCUUCCACCAGGAAAGAAACCAGUGGGUUGUCGAUGGAUCUACACUAUAAAAUACAAAGCAGAUGGCUCUAUUGAACGAUACAAAGCAAGACUUGUAGCUAAGGGUUACACCCAAACCUACGGGAUUGAUUAUACUGAUACGUUUGCACCGGUAGCAAAAAUUAAUACUAUUCGUAUCUUAUUAUCAUUAGCAGUCAACUUGGAUUGGCCAGUGUAACAGUUCGAUGUAAAGAAUGCUUUCCUCCAUGGAGACCUGUUUGAAGAAAUUUAUAUGGAUUUGCCACCAGGAUGCAGUGGACCAGAACGACUCAAUCAGAAAGUAUGCAAAUUGAAGAAAUCAUUGUAUGGGUUGAAGCAAUCUCCAAGAGCAUGGUUCGGGAAAUUCACAAAGGCUAUGGUUCGUUUUGGGUAUAACCAAAGCAAUUCAGAUCAUACCUUAUUCAUUAAAAAACGACAAGGUAAAAUCACUGCCCUUAUUGUCUAUGUGGAUGAUAUGGUAGUUACGGGCAACGACGAGGAAGAAACAGAGGCUCUUCAGAAGUACUUGUCAAGAGAGUUUGAGAUGAAGGAUUUAGGUGCCUUAAAAUACUUUCUUGGAAUUGAGGUUUCUCGAUCUAAGGGAGGAAUCUUUCUGUCUCAAAGGAAAUAUGCCUUAGAUCUAUUGCACGAAACGGUAAUGACAGCUUGUCAGCCUAUUGACACCCCAAUAGAAGAAGGACUGAAGUUUUGUAUUACUUCAGACCAAGUUCCAGUAGACAAAGGAAGAUAUCAAAGGCUGAUUGGAAGAUUGAUGUACUUGUCCCACACAAGGCCAGAUCUUGCUUAUGCAUUGAGUGUUGUAAGCCAGUUUAUGCAUAAUCCCGGAGAACAACACAUGAAAGCAGUAAUGCGGAUCCUGAGGUACCUGAAGACAAAUCCAGGAAAAGGAAUCUUAUUUUCCAAAAAUGAAGAUUACAGCAACAUAGAAGUUUAUACUGAUGCAGAUUGGGCCGGGUCAGUUAGUGAUAGACGCUCUACUUCAGGAUACUUUACCUUUGUGGGAGGAAACCUUGUCACAUGGAGAAGCAAGAAACAACAUGUCGUUGCCCGUUCGAGCGCUGAAGCAGAAUAUCGAGGCAUGGCCCUUGGGAUAUGUGAAGGGCUAUGGAUAAGUUUUAUCUUAAACGAUUUGGGCUAUCCAUCACAACAACCAAUACAACUAUACUGUGACAACAAAGCUGCACGAGAUAUUGCUCAUAACCCAGUUCAACAUGAUCGAACAAAACAUGUGGAGGUAGAUAGAUUUUUCAUCAAGGAGAAAUUAGAUGAAAAAAUCUUAGAACUGCCGAAAAUUCGAUCAGAAGAUCAACUUGCAGAUAUUUUAACGAAGGCCAUUUCAAGCAGGGCAUUUACAAAAUUCCUAGACAAGUUGGGCAUGCAAGACAUCUAUGCACCAGCUUGAGGGGGAGUGUUGAGAAUCAUAUAAAACGGCAUUAAAUGAAACUUUCAAAGACAGAAUCUGCACUUGUCAAAGGGGUAAUCUGCACUUGUCAAAGACAAGAUCCGCGCCGAACGGAUUGACACAUUUCCUUCCGUAUUCACACAUGUAAUCUUUGAAAAAAUGUAGCCGCUGCAUCUAUAAAUAACUCUAAAUGUAUAAUGCUUUAUUUAAGAAAUGAAAACACGUUUCUUCAGUUUGCCACCUGCAAAGUAUUUUAUUUUCACAUUUAUAGGAGGCCGUUUUUUGACCUUAUUAUUAUAUAUUAAUUUGUUGGCGCAUGAUUAAAAGAAAUUUACAAAUAAUAAUUCUUGCUUUUAGAAUGAUUUAAAUGCCAUGCGUCACAAUAACUUUAGAUGCUUCAAAAAAAUUAGAUCAAGAUGAACCAUGCCCUCUAACCUUGUAAUAUGUAAGCAAAUAAUCCAAUAAAAAAAAAAAUUGUGAAUAUCAGCUAAUUAAAAGUUUAAUAGAAAUGUCCGACAACUUAAAAAAAAAAGAAUUAAAUUUCUUUUUUCCUUUUAUCGGAUUACGGCCACCUCAAGAAUUGAGGGUCGCGCAACCCUAUUUAACCUAAUAUACAUUCUUAGUCAAUCUGGAAGAACUAUGGCUUUGACUCAUCUAUUAUUGAUUUAAAUCGUCAUAGCACCACCAAUUCUUGGAGUUCCCAGAAGAUUUUGGUUGCUCCAAAUUCAAUGAGUUUGUUAAAGUUUCUAUGCAUUGCACGGUAGACAAAAACCAAUCAGAGAGAUAAUGAUAUAAGAAUAUCAAUGGCAACUUCCUCGAUUAGACUAUUGUCUCAUUAAUGACAAAAAAUGCUUGACAGAUCUUGUUCUUGUUGCUUGUCAGGUUUCUCAUUUAUCCACUUUUGUUUUGUCAGUAUGUUAGCUAUGAAAACACUACCAGUGGAUCUCUUGAACUUCCCGGCCAUGGAAACCCUGGAUGCAAUUUUUAUUGAAGUUGGUAAGUUCGUUACCGUCUUCUUCUGCUCGAAAAUUGCCGUCAAUAGAAAACUCCAUGGUAACAUGAAAGCUCUUCAGAAAUAACUAUGUUGAAAGCAGCAGCAGUGGACAGUCAACGGUUGACCUCAGAGACACGUUGGCAUGUCACCUAAGCUACACCUAUCUGCAUCCAGCUAAUGAGAGAAAUGAGCUGGAUUUAAUGAGGUGGCAAAAUGGUUAUGCUGAGGAAUAUCAGCACAUGAGCAUGGAAGGAUGGAGAUUCGAGAAGCUCUACAUCAUUGGUUAAUGAUAGCUAUAUUCACGGAUCAAUUUUUUUACUUAUUUCCAAGUGUUGUCCUUUGGCUUGUUGUCGUUUUUCAUAGCUUGUGUAUAAAUAAGCCAAUGCUUGUAAACUUUUAUUCAUUCGAGUUAUUAAUAUUAAUGGAAGUGCCUGUGGUUUAUGCUCUGCUUGCAUCAAUAAGCAAUUCUUAAUGAAUUUAAGUAACUAGAAGAACUCACAGAAAGGAAAAAUGAAAUUGAAGAAGAUAUCAGAUUAGCCGAAAGUGAAGGAAAGUGUCCUAAUACACGAGUCAGGGUGUGGCUCAGAAAGGUAGAGGAGACUGCACGAGAAGUGCAACAUAUGGUCGAGGAGGGCAACAGACUUGCUAUGCAACGCUGCAGCCUUGCCUGCAACUUGCACUCACACUAUCAGCUUAGUAGAAUUGUUGGAAAGAAGAGAAAGAGGUGAGCAACUAGCUCCUUGACAUGCGCAAUUUUCAGAAUGUUGUAACUGAUAAAAAGUCUCCCGUAAAAGCUGUUGAGAGGAUGCAAGGGCCAUGUCUCUUUGGUCAGAAAGCGGCGGAGGAAAUUUUAGAGCGGCUUGAAGGGUAUCUGAAUGACGGUGGAAUCAAAAGAGUUGCCGUUUAGGGUAGGGGAUGAGUGGGGAAGACUAACUUGGUGAGAAACCUUGAACAAGUAGUUAAAGACCUCUUCUCUUAUGGAAUCCUUGAAUAUUGUCAUCUGGGUUAGAGUCUCAAAAGAUCUCGAUUUGAGAGAUAUUCAAUCACAAAUUGCAAAAAGAUUGAGGUUAGAAUUUGAUGCGGAAGAGACCAUUGACAGAAGAGCUAGGAGACUGCAUGAAAGAUUAAUGACGAAGAAAAGGUUCCUUCUUAUUCUGGAUAAUGUUUGGGAGAAAUUAAAAUCGAUUUGGACAUUGUGGGCAUUCCACAAGAUGAAGACCAAGCUAACUGUAAGAUCCUUCGGACAACUCGAUCCCUUGAUGUGGGUAGAAACAUGAUGACUGAUGAGGAAGUCAAGAUGAACCUUUUGAAUGAAAAAGUAGCUUGGAAUUUUUUUGCUGAAUAUACAGGAGAUGUCGUCCGGUUAGAAAAAAAUAAAUCCAAUAGCAAAGGCAAUUGCCAGGAAAUGCUGUGGUUUACCGUUAGCUAUUGCAACCGUGGGGAAGUCCACGAGUAACAAAAGGAUGAAAGAGCAGUGGAAGAAUGUACUCUACGAAUUGCAGCUCUCGGCACCCCAAUUUGAAAGCAUCAAGAAGGAUGUUUAUCAGCCCUUAAAGUAGAGUUGCUACCCAUGCCAAGUAAGUUUCUUCAGUGAUGCUUUUUACAUUGUUCUUUAUAUCCAGAAAACUAUUCUAUCCUAACAUGUGAACUUAUUUAAUGCUGGACAGCUGAUGGAAUAAUAGAUGAAAUGUAAGAGAGAUUAUAAUAUUUUGUAGUUUGAAAUUUAAGGAGAAAACGGCAGCCUAUUGUGAAGAAAACGGCUAACCAUUUUCGUCAGUAAGCAUGUUUUCUUGCUUGUACAAAACCGGCUAGCUGGAUUUUAAAAUUAAAAAACCCGGUUAAUUCUAGUGAGUUCUCUGGACAGCCGGAUUUAAUAGCCGGUAAAUUAAAUUUUUACACAAUGCUCUCUGGACAAAAAACGGAUAUCUAAAUUUUUGUAUCUGGCUAACCGGUAUUGAACAUAUGCUAAUUUCAAACCAAAUGGUGUGUCUUUGAAGAAGUACCAUUUUAAAUGGUUGUAAUUUUAAGAUGAAAAAACGUCUUCUUCAUCAUAUAGACACUCACAUAUCAAUAUAAAGCUAGAUUUUUUACAGAUUUCAUAUAUGUUCUAGGAAUAAAAUCUAAUUUGCUAGAUAUUAUAUUCAGGAUUUGUUAUAUUUUAGGGGUAAUUUGCCAUUAAACUCUAUAGCAAACCAAGAGUGGUGAGGGCAAAUAAAACCUUAAAGGAAAGUGUAUAAACAUGUCUCAAAUCCUAAGUAAUUUCUUUGAUUUUUGUCUCCAUUUCGUAAAUUCUCCAACAAUCUUUAAGGUUUUAUUUUGUUCGCAAAUGGAGGCUGAGAAGAAUCUAACUUCAUUUCUCGAUCUUUUUUAUGGCACUAAUUGUACUCGCUGGAAGGGAAAAUUGUUCUUCAUUCUCACUGUUCUGAAAAUUGCAUAUGUUCUUGAUCCAAAAUUGGAACCAUUUCCAAAGCCAAAAGAAGAUGAGACCGAAGUUGUUAAGGUUGCAAGGAAAAAACAUGAAGAUGAUGAAUUGAUGUGUCGGGGUCACAUAUUCAAUACGCUUUCUCUAUGAUCUUUACAAUUUCAUGACUUCUCCGCUGGAAAUUUAGAAGGUUCUUGAGUACAAAUAUAAAAUGGAGAAGGAAGGUACUGAAAAAUUCCUUAUCUCAAAAUAUUUUAAAUUUGUUAUGGUAGACACAAAAUCCAUUCUUGAUCAAAUACAUGAAUUACAUAUUAUAGUUACUAAGCUUCAGGAAUUAAAAGUUGAAAUUUCUGAAUCAUUUCAAGUUGGGUCUAUUAUUGCUAAGUUGCCUCCAAAGUUAGAAUGAUUAUAGAAAGAAACUUUUUCAUAGUAGAGAGAACAUAACUUUAGAAGAAUUACAAAAACACUUGGUAAUCGAAGAAGAGAUAAGGUCUCGAGAUUCCAAGUACAAGCAUGAUUCUUCUAAGGUUAAUGUUGUUGAAGCUUGUAAAUUUUCAAAGAAUUUCAAGGUCAAGAAUGACAAGAAAUUCAAGAAGUCCAACACACAAAAAUUUUCUAAAAAUUGUUUCUUUUGUGGCAAGAAAUGCCAUCGCCAAAGUGAUUACAGAUUCAAGAAGAAAAAAAUAAGUGAAUUCCCAUAAAGCUAAUAUUAUUGAAGAGAAAUCUGAAGAGUAUUGUGCUAGGGUUUCUGAGAUGCAAAUUAGCAUGAUUACCGAAACCAAUAUGGUUGAAACUAAAUCCUGCGAUUCGUGCCUCGAUUUAGGUGCUACCAUUCAUGUUUGUAAGACAACAUGUUCUCAUGGGGAAUAAUAAUAUAGCCAUGGAAGCAGGAAAAGGAGUAGUCGAGCUCAACUUUACUUUUGGAAAGAAAGUUACAUUGUAUAAUGUCUUUAAUAUACCUUCCAUUAGGAACAAUCUUGUUUCUGCUAGUUGUAUGUGUAAGCAUGUGCUUAAGAUUGUGCUUGAGGGUAAUACUUGUAUUAUUUCAAAGAAUGGGAUGUUUGUUGGGAAAUGUUAUUCUUGUGAUGGAAUGUACAAACUCAACAUUAAUAAUAAUGAUAUCAACUUAGCUUAUAUUGUUAAGUCUUGUAAUGUUUGGCAUGGUAGAUUAGCGCAUUUGAAUUUUAGAUCUUUGUAGUACAUGUCUAAGCAUGGUUUGAUUAAUUGUAAUGGUGUUAAAAGUCAUAAGUGUAAGAAACCUUUUCCUAAAGCCCAACGAAAUACUUAAUAUUAGAUUUAAUACAUACCGAUAUUUGUGAGUAUAGUGGCAUUUUAAAAAGAGGAGGUAAGAGGUACUUUAUGACUUUUAUUGAUGAUUGUUGUAGAUACACUUAUGUGUAUUUACUUAGAACAAAAGAUGAAGCUUUUGAUAAAUUUAAAAUUUUCAAAGCUGAAGUUGAGAACCAAAAAGAUAAGAAAAUCAAAAUGAUUCAAAGUGAUAAAGGUGGUGAAUAUUUCUUAAUUGAGUUUAAUAAUUAUUGUGAAAAAUUUGGAAUUAUUCACCAAAAAUCAGCUCCAUUUACUUCUCAACAAAAUGGUUUAGCUAAACGGAAAAAUAGGAUUUUUAUGGAUAUGAUAAAUUCCAUGAUCAUUAAAUGCAAGACUACCAAAUAAUUUGUAGGGGGAAACAUUACUCAUUACAUAUCAUAUUCAUAAUAGAAUCACAUCUUUGAAAACACAUGUAUCUCCUUAUGAAAUUUGGAAAGGAAGAAAAUCAAACUUGAUGUAUUUAAGGGUCUGGGAUUGUUUAGCUUUUUAUAAAAUACUUGAUCCUAAAUCAUCAAAGUUAAGUGCCAGAGGUACAAGAAGUGUUUUCAUAGGAUAUGCUGAAAAUUCCAAGGCUUAUAGAUUGUUAAAUUUAUAUUCUAAUGUGAUUGUGGAAUCUAGAGAUGUUGAAUUUAUUGAAGAUAAAUUUCAACAUGAUUCUAAUAUUGAAUUAGAAUCAAUUAUUGUUAACCAUGUGAUAAUACUCCUAGUACCUCCACUAAUAACAAUAAAAGGAAAGAGUCUAUGACAUUUUUCGAACCCAGGAGAAGUCAACGUGAAAAGAAAGAAAGAGUUUAGCUCCGGAUUUUAUUUCAUCACAAGCAUUACUCUUCUUAGUUGAACAGGAUAGGAAAAAUAUACUUAACAAAGUACCAUUGUUGUUAAAUGUUGAAGAGACUCCAAAGACAUUUAGCGAAACUAUGUCUUCUAGAGAUGCUUCCUUUUGGAGAGAGGCGGUGAAUGAUGAAAUGGAUUCGAUUAUAUCGAAUCAAACAUGGAUCUUGGUUGAUCUUCCUCCAUGAUCUAAACCAAUUAGCAACAAAUGGGUGUUUAGAAGAAAGUACAACAGUGAUGGUUUUUACAAACUUUUAAGGCUAGAUUAGUAGCCAAAGGGUUUAAGUAAAGAAGUGGUAUUGAUUAUUUUGAUACAUACGCUCCGAUGGCAAUUUGCAUGUGCAUCAAAUGGAUGUUAAGAUCGCUUUUCUUACUAGUGAUCUUGAUGAAGAAAUCUAUAUGGAACAACCCGAAGGAUUUGUUUUGCCUGGAAAUGAGACAAAGGUAUGCAAGUUAGUUUAGUCACUUUAUGGUUUAAAGCAAGCACCAAAACAAUGGCAUGAAAAGUUUGAUUCGGUAAUCUUAUCUCAUGGUUUUAAGCAUAAUAAUGCUGAUAAAUGUAUAUAUUCUAAGUUUACGAAUGAUUUUGAUGUGAUUAUAUGCUUAUAUGUUGAUGACCUACUUAUCUUUGGAACAAACAUACAAGGAGUAAAUGAUACAAAAACGUAUUUAACUUCACAAUUCAAGAUGAAAGAUAUUGGUGAAGUAUAUACUAUCUUAGGUGUCAAAGUGAAAAAACAUAGUGGGGGUUACUCGUUGUGUCAAUCUCAUUAUAUAGAGAAAGUGUUUCUUAUAUUCAAUUAUUUGAAAUUUUAAAAAAGUUAACACCCCAUAUGAUUCUACUAUUAAAUUACUAGAAAGUUCAAGCCAAGCAGUAGCUCAACUAGAAUAUGCCAGUGUUAUUGGUAGCUUGAUGUAUGCUAUGCAUUGUACGAGACCAGAUAUAGCUUUUGCGGUUUGCAAAAUGUCAAGAUUCACAAGUAAUCAUAGUGUUGAACACUGGAAAGCAAUUAGAAGGAUACUUGGUUAUCUUACAAGGACUAUUAAUUUGGAUUUGUUUUAUAAUGAUUAUCCUGAAGUACUAGAAGGAUAUUCAUAUGCUAGUUGGAUAACCAAUACAAGUGAUAAUAAAUCCACUUCUGGUUGGAUUUUCACAAUUGUUGAAGGAGCCUUGUCUUGGGCUUCAAAGAAACAAACAUGCAUAACUCACUCAACAAUGGAAAGUGAGUUUAUAGCACUUGCAGUUACAGGCAAGGAAGCAUAAUGGCUGAGAAAUUUGUUAUUUGAUAUUAAGUUGUGGCCACAACCGAUGCCAUCUAUUUCUUUAUACUGCAAUAGUGAAGUUACAUUGUCUAGAGCUUAUAAUAAAGUGUAUAAUGGAAAGUCUAGACAUAUUAGCUUAAGAUAUGAAUAUGUGAAACAAUUAAUAGCAGAUGGUGUUAUUAAUAUUGUUUACAUUAGGACUAAUAAAAAUCUAGCGGAUCCUUUAAUAAAAGGUCUUUCAAGAGACUUAGUUAAGGAUACAUCAUUUGGAAUGAGAUUGAAACCUUUCUUUGAUAAAGUCACCAACUACGGUAACCUAACUAUAUAAUAGUUAUACAGCUAUACCAUAAUUAAAUGGGUAAUAACAAGUUGUUAUUAUGUGACUGGUUUGGCAUCGAAAAUAAGUAAUCACAUUUGAGAUGUUCGGUGCAAAUAUCUAUGAAGUUAAGGUUGAGUAUUUACUCUUAAUGAAGUUUAAGUCUUAUAGUAGCUAAAAACAUAAUUUGAAGCUUCACCUAAGUGAACAUAAGAAAUUGUGCCGUUUCUAAUAAGAUCGUGGUUUAAUCUUAUAAAUGUUCAUGAAUCCAAGAUAGAGCACAAGUCUGGAAUAGUGCUAAAUAUUGGAACAUAACUUUGAAAUCUAAGAUAGCUUAUAUGUGAUGUAUCUCUGGUAUCUACUUAAAAGACAAAGUUUAAUGCUUAGCACACUAUUGUCUUAUAAAUGCUUUGAAAUACAUUCACUAAUUAAAUGUUAAAAUCGAAAGAUAUAUUUUUUUAUGUAUAAGUUUAUCAUUGAUAAAUCUAGAAAAUAUUACAAUCUAGUGGGGGAUUGUAAGAGAGAUUAUAAUAUUUUGUAGUUUGAAAUUUAAGGAGAAAACGGCUAACCUUUUUCGUCCAGUAAGCAUGUUUUCUUACUUCUACAAAACCGGCUAGCUGGAUUUUAAAAUCCAGAAGACCGGUUAAUUCCAGUGAGUUCUCUGAACAAGAAAUGGCUAGUCAGAUUUAAUAAUCGGUAAACCGAAUUUUUACAUAAUGCUCUCUGAACAAAAAAUGAAUAUCCAGAUUUUUGUAUACGGCAAACUGGUUGUGAACAAAUGAUAAUUUCAAACCAAAUGGUGUGUCUUUAAAGAAGUACCAUUUUAAAUGGUUAUAAUUUUAAGAUGAAAAAACGUCUUCUUCAUCAUAUAGACACUCAUAUAUCAAUAUAAACCUAGAUUUUUUUUCAGAUUUCAUAUAUGUUCUUGGAAUUUAAUAUUAUUUGCUAGAGAUUAAAUUCAAGAUUUGUUAUAUCUUGGGGGUAAUUUGCCAUUAAACUCUAUAGCAAACCAAGAAUGGUGAGGACAAAUAAAACUUUAAAGGAAAGUAUAUAAACACGUCUCAAAUCCUAAGUAAUUUCUUUGAUUUUUGUCUCCAUUUCGUAAAUUCUCCAACAUGAAAACCAAACUCUAAAGGAAUGUUUCAAUAAAGGGAUUGCUUUUAUUGAAAAAUUGAAGGACCCUUGCUUGUUAGAACAGGUUAAUGCAGUGAGACUAUAAGGAUGCAUUACAUUGUGAGAGACGUGGCUAUAAGUAUAUCAAAGAAUUGUGGAUUUUUCUGUCAAUCUGGUAUUUUACUGUAUGAAAUGCCGCAAAAGUUUUAGAAUUCUUUCGCAAGGAUUUCAUUUUUGAACAACAAGAUUACCAGGUUGCCUAGUCAAUUGAUUGGAUGUUCUGAGCUGAUUGUGUUGCUCCUCCAAGAUAAUUCCCUAAAGAAACUCCCCGAGAACUUCUUUUGAGAAGUUAGAGCACUUAAGAGUUCUGAUCUAAGCAGCACAUAGAUAACUUUCCUGCCUCAUUUGCCUGAUCUAGAGGAGCUCCAUUCUUUCUUUUGGAGGUCUUGAAGGAUUAUUAACCAAUGCAAGUUCGCUGGACCUAAUAAUAUACGGAGGCAUAAGUGUGAUAUCUGAACUAAUUUCAAAGAAUUACUUGUGGGUCUCCCAAUGUCAAAGUCUCUCACCAUAUCAAGUGUAACUCCCUUUCAACUUUGGCAAGUGGGGAGAAUAUUCAUAGAAAUAUGUUACCAAAGAUAGAGCAUUUGGAGCUAAGGCAUUUGAGAAAUUUGGAAAACAUUUUGGAAGAAAUGACGGCUCAAAGAUGUCGCUUUUUCAGAUUAAAAAAUCAUAAAAGUGGUUAAUUGUCCAAGACUGAGAAACCUCAUAUCCUAUGCUUUUCUUAAAGAGGUCCAGAACCUUGAAGAGAUCAGGGUUAUAACCCCAGAAGGAUAAAAUGUAUCUUUGCAGGAAAAUUUUCUUAUGAAAUGCUCACAAAAUUAAGAGUCAUAGAGCUGAGGGACUUGGAAAACUUGAGGAUUAUUUGUUCGAGGAAAAUAGCAUGGCCAAUUUUGGAGAAAAUUGAAGGUUACAAUUGCCUAAACUGACAAAACUGCCAUUCUCAGCCUUCAAUGCACUAACUAUAAAAGAAAUUAGAGGAGGUUUAAAAUGCCGGAAUAAUCUUAGAUGGGAAGAUGACACAAUCAAGUUUAGUCUCCAGCAAAUGUUCCACCCACGUACACACUUAACAAUGCUGACAAGAGAACAUAGUCAAUAGAUAGGAGCAUUUUUCGACAUGUAGACAUCAAAGGAAACAAUGCAUUGCAUCUUGCAGCGAAAUUUGGAGAGUAUGGACCUUGGCGUACUCCAGGAGCUGCAUUGCAAAUGCAAUGGGAAAUCAAUUGCUACAAGGUAUAUAGGUUCGAUUGUUGAUUCUAAUUCAUCACAGUUGCAGGCUUUUGUUCUACUCUUGUCCGUCAUUGUUAUAUUUUAAGGACAUUGCAGUUUGUCAAUGAAUCAAUGCCGCGAUAUUUGUUUCUUGGAUGCAACAAAGGAGGCAAAACACCAAAGGAAAUCUUCACAAAAGCACACAAAUAACUCGUCAAAAAUGGCCAGGAAUGGCUGCCAAGACUCAAGAAUCUCCGAAUCAUGCUUAGUUGUGGUAGCACUCAUAGUGCAUUCGCAACUUCAGUUACUGUGCCAGGUGGCCUCAACCGACAAAGUUGUAAACCAAUCCUGGAAAAUGAGCCUGCUUUCAAAAUCUCUUCCAUUUCAUCAUUUGUUGCUCUGUGCUUCUCUGUUACAGCCUUUUUAUUUUUCCUCUCAAUUCUCACUUCUAGAUACCGAGAAAAAGAUUUCCCCAUGGCCUUGCCAAGAAAAUUUCCCCUUGCUUUAACGUCUGUGUGGACUAAAAUGGUGAAUCCAAAACUUGAGCAUAUUAAACGGCAACGUUUUGUUUGUGUUUAAUGAGUUCAGGUAUCACGAGCUUGGCAUGUGGAUUACUUAAGUCUGAAACGGCAGGGGCUUGUGACGUUUUGAACAAAGACUUAAGUGGAACAUGUGGAAUGCACGUGAAGAGGGGAAUCAAGUUAGUUGCGAAGCUGUUAGUACAGGUGGCAAGAAUCUGUGCAUUCUGGAAUUGAUAUCAGCUGUUAUGUAAGCUGGUUAACGGAGCAGCUUGAAAAGCUAUCUAAGAGCGUGAUAGAGAGAGUUAAGAUACAAAGAAAGCUUAGUCUUGAUCCUAGUAGUUAACUCUUGUAUUACGGUGCAAAGAUUGCUUGAAUCAUCAAUAAAGCUUGUUCUGUUGUCUUCUCCCGUGGAUGUAGAUUGUGCUCUUCUGCACAUUCGAACCACGUAAAACACUUUCUUGUUCUGAGUUUGAUUAGCUUCUAAUUCUGGUUCUUGGUACUUUCUGAUUAUAUCCAUUUACGUUAAAGGUUCUGUGAACUCUUAAAGUUAGAUUGAUUAGGUUCUUAGCAUCUUGAUUGGUCUGGUUUGUGAUCUUGGGCAGUGUAUUGGGUUGUUAAUCGUUUUCUAAAGCACCCAAUUCACUACAGUCUGCUAUUUACAUCAAUUGCUGCUGUAAUGAUCUCGUUCUGUUCAGGGCAUUUCUUUGUUUUAAGAGAUGAGAUGAGAUCAACAGUAUAUCCAUUGUAUGCAGCAACGUGCUUCCCAAUGAUAUUUUUUUCCCUUGCACACAUUCCUCUUUACUUGGAUCUUAUUUAGGCCAUCUUCAAAAAGGUUCCAAAGCGUAGGGAAAGUGUGAUUCCUCAGUUAAUGCCUAUGUUUGCUUUUUUCCUUGUUUGGAUUUGAAGCACUCAUUUUUGGUGAAAUGUUUUGAUUUAAUUUUGUUUCUGUUUUGUCAAUGCAAGUACCAAGUUUGUGUGACGGCACACUAAAAUAAAUUCAAUUUAUAAUAGAAAAAGCUAUUACUAAUAGAGAUUCUUACAAUAAGGGAAUUCUUUAUUUUAAUAAAGUAAGGGAUAAACUAAAUGAUGAAAAAGACACUAAUUUCAAUAUAUUACAAAAUAAAAUAUAUUAUAUUUUGUAAUUUUUUUAUUUUAUUAAAGUAAAACUUUUCUUAUUCUAAAAGGGUCACUCUAUGAUGCUGUUAUAAAAAUUACAACAUCAAUAAUGGUAUAAAUAUUUAUCAUUAGAUUUAAUCAACAGUUAAUAAAAUUAAAAGUUAGUUAGGAUAAUAUUUUAAUUCCAAUUAUUAAAAAUUUAAAUUUACUAAUUAUCAAAAUUGUUAUAGAUGUUUUGUAAAGAUUAAAUAAUAAAAAGAAAUAAAUAUAGUCUACUAAUACUUUUAUAAUUUCUUUUAAAACAUAUGUAUUUUAAUAUUAACACGACUCAAUCUUAGUUUAUAUUUUUAUUAUUUUCUCAUUUUCAAAAAAAAAUACUAGGUUAAUAAAUAUAUCAACAGUUAAUUCAACUUAAUCUUCACCAAUGAGUAAUUCAAAAAAAAAAAAAGACAAUGAAUAAAACUAAGAAUUCAAAAUUAUAUUGUCCCAAUUAUAAAUGAAAAAAUGGGUCUGUAUUAACGUGUGUUGUUAUUGAAUUCCGUAUUUAUUAUUUACACAUCUAAAUUCAUUUAUAUAUUUGCAUGUUUAAUUUUUAAUUUUGUUGGUGAUUAGAAAAAUUUAUGGAAUUAUAAAAAAUAAAAUUAUAUCCAUGAAGUUGAGUAUUUUUUAUUAAUUAUUAAGUAAUUAGUUAUUUAUUCACUAAAUUAAAUUAAUGGUGAAAAUUAAAACAUUUUAAGUCUAAUGGUCUAUAAUGACUCAUUAAUACUGUAAAAAUUUAUAUAAUGUUAUAGAGAAAUCCAAAUAAUAAAACAAAGAUGUUUUCUAAGACAAAUAUAUAAACUUUUAAAAUAAGAGUGGCCACUUCUUUUCAAAGAACAAGGCUUUAGAAUAUUUUAAUAUAGGCAGGGAUAUUUUCACCCUCCUAUUUAUUUGAACCCAUGCACCAUAUUUUAAAAAAUAUUUACAGUAACUUCACAUUAUUUUUAAUAAAUAUGAAUCAAGGAAAAAAUUUAUAUAAUUAAUCGAUUAAAUCCUUCUUAUAAUUUUUUUGUACUUAGGUUUCUUUAACGAUGUUUGACUAUUAGAGUUACCUUAACAUAAAUUUUACUUGAUUAUUUUAUCCUUGUGACAUAUUCCUAAUAAAUAUAUGUUAUUGUACUUGAUAGUUAUGUAUUUAAUUUUGUGACCUAUAAACUAACUCUUUUAAAUAAAAUCUAAUGAUUUUCAUUACCUUAGUUGUAAAUGAAAUAAAUUUGACAAUUUAAUAAUUUAUAUGAGUAUUGUAGCAUAAAAAUAUUAUGUCUUAAGUUAAAGAUUUAUAGACACCAUUUAGAAAUAAUGAAUUUUGUGUAAAUAAAAAAUGGUGAAGUUAAAUAAAAUUUUAGUACUUUUUACCUCAUAAGAAUAAAAUAGUUAAUUUACGUUUAGGCUAAAGCAAUAGUAGUCAACUAUAAUAAAAAAAUCUAAGUCACAAAAAAUGAAUUAUGAUAUAUUUAAUUAAUUGAUUCUGUAAAAUUCUUCUUUAUCUAAAAAAAAAUUUAAAUAAUGUGAAUUUUUUACAAUUAUUUUUAAAAAUGGGGUGGGUUUACAAAAAUUUUGAAUGAAAAUAACACCACCAUUUCAUUAUAGGGAAAAGCCACGAACACCCCACGCAUAGCCCUUGGUAUCUGGAAUGUACGCGGACAUCUCUUCCGUUAGAUUGGAUGGGUUAAAAGAUAUUUUGGUAAUUUUGCUUUGUGCUGUUGACUUAUGAUUUAGACUUGUCAAUUAGUGUGACGCGUUGGAUUUACUAUUACCGAUCAGCACCACUUGUCAAAAAUUAAGUGGACAACAAAAAAAUGAUCAAACAAAGCCCACGCCUUUGGCUUUUGGAUUUGCUCUGAGAUCACAGGAUUCACUUUUAACUUUCCUCUUCUACCCACUUUAACAAAAACACAAAAACUUAACUAUGCCUUUUGGUUUUGUAUACGUAGCAAACUAAGUGAAAGUGUGGUACCACAUUUUCACCUGACCUAACACGAAACAAUCUAAAUACGACACGAACUCUAUAGGCACCUCAAUAAAAAGGGCUCUUGCCCACAAGAUAAAACAUUCUAUUCCCAAACAAAAAAGAAAAGACUAGAGAUCUUCUUUUCCCUUAAACUCUUUUAAGAUGUUAUUGACGAGAUUCUCGAUUUCUAAUUUAAGCAUCAAAGGGUCUUUCUUAGUAUCAACCUUGGCACCCCUACUGUAUUUGUUUUCUUAUUUGUAGAUUGAAACUAUUGCAAAAUCAAAUGCGAUGGCAACAUGGAUGGCUUGAAAUUCAAAUUCGAUGGCACAAAUAUUUUAACAAGUCGAAGCCAUGCAUGCAUGAUGAUUUCAGUGCCGAUUUUAAAGACUUUGGCUGCCAAUUCUUUGAAGACUUUUAAUUGCAUUAAAUAAUGAAGCUCCACUAUAAAUAGAAAAGAAAAUCUCAUUUGUUGUGCAUCCAAAAAUUGUGAGAUCUAAGAUCAUUGCAAAUAAGCUCUUCAAGAGUGUAGAAAGAGAUUUUCCUUAGGUGCUAAGGGGAUCCAUUUUGGUGUAUUAGGUGCUAGGUUUUCAGAGUAGUUCUUAAAUUUUGUAAAUUGUCAUUUGUUAGUAAAAUUAUCUUCUAAUAUUUGCCUGUGAACAUAGGUUUUAAGUCGAACCACAUAAAUUAUUAUGCCUUAUUUUCUUUGUAUCACCACAUUUAUAUUUUUUCAGAAGUCACAGUUACCAUAAUACUGGUAAUUGUUCAAUCUGUGCUUUCGCAACAAGUGGUAUUAGAGCAUAUGGUUCGUGCUUGGGGUAUACGGCACUGUUCACGAAUAUAGUGGAGUCAACAGUUCAAACUUGGGAGUAUCAAGAGCCUACAGUGUAGUUGUGUGGAUAAAUGCAUGUACAGAAAAAUUUUGUUAAUAAGACGAUAAAAGUCUAAGGAGUUUGGAUUUUAAAUUGAGACCGUUGUGACCCAUUUAUUCUCUUGGAAACUUUUCUGGUGCAUUAUCUAUACAAGUAGACGCGGAAACAUUUUUGUUCGAGUUAAAUAAUUAAAAAAAAAGAUGGGAGAGGCGUCAUUGUCACUUUCCUCAACAAGGACUACUAUGUCAAAUGCGAAAUUUGAAGUAAAGAAAUUUUUCGGUACUAAUAAUUUUAGUAUGUGGCAAUGUGAGGUGUUGAAUGUCUUAUGUCAGUAAGAGUUGGACCUUGCCCUUGAAAAAAAGCUUGGAAAAAUGGAUGACAAGGAGUGGAUAAAUAUCAAUAAAUAGGCAUGUGGUAUUAUUCGUCUGUGUCUGGCUAAAGAUCAAAAAUACUUUGUCAUGCGGGGGACUUUAGUGAAGAAAUUCUAAAAGACACUAAAGAAAAGUACAUGAAGAAACGUCUUGAAAAUAAGCUUUGUAUGAUAAAAAAAAAAAAAACUCUAUUGAUUCACGUAUGCACCUAGCAUGUCGAUGAAUGACCAUGUAAACUUAUUCAACAAGAUAUGAGUGGAUUUGCUAAAUUUGGAUGAGAAAUUUAAAGAUGAAGAUAAGGCAUUAUUAUUGUUGAAUUCCCUUCCUGACGAAUAUGAUUAUCUCACCACCACUUUACUUCAUGGGAAAGACAGUGUCAUAUAUGUAAUGUAUUGUAUAACUCUGGAGAAAGAAAAACAAAAAAGAUCACAAAAAUACAAUUGCAGAAGUAUUUUCAGUAAGAGGUCAUUCACAAAGUCGUAAACCUGAAAAAAAAAAAAAAAAAAGCAUGCCUAAAGAGAGGCCUACUAAAGACGAAUGUGCUUUAUGUCGCAGAAAAGGGUAUUGGAAAAAAAAUUAUCCUAAAUUACAAAAGGACAAGGCUAUUUCUAGUGCAUGUAUAGCAAAGCAUAAUGAUGAGUCAAACUUUAGUUUAGUUGGCAUAACGUUAAUAUGUCACUCAUAUGAGUGGAUUUUAGAUUUGAGUUAUACUUAUCUUAUAUGUUCUAACAGGGCUAGUUUUCUACCUUCAAUGAGCUAAAUAGUGGAGUUAUUUUUAUGGGCAGCGAUAAUGCAUGUAAAACCAUGAGAAUAGGUUCAAUCUAAUUGAAAAGUUAUGACGGCUCAAAGCAACUCUUGACAAAUGUUCUUUACGUACCAAGUUUGAAAAAAAAAAUCUCAUCUCAUUACGAAUCUUAGAAUCCAAAGGACUUACAAUCACUCUAAGAGAUGGAUUCUUGAAGGUAGUAACUAGUGCACUAACAAUGAUGAAAGGCACAAGAAAAAAUAGCUUGUACUAUUUCUAAGGGAAUACAGUUAUUGGAUCAGCAUUAACCGUUUCUGGAAAAGAUGCAGAUUCUUGCAGACUUUGUUGAACCAAGGCUUAUUAAAAUGUACAAAUUCUUGCAAAAUAGAAUUUUGUGAACAUUGUGUUCUAGGCAAGCAGACAAAGGUAAAGUUUGGUUCACCAAUUCACAAUACAAAAAGGAUUUUGGACUAUGUUCACAAUGAUAUGUGAGAACCUACCAAAACAGUUUCUUUGAGAGGUAUGCACUAUUUUGUUACUUUUCUUUAUGAUUAUUCAAGAAAAGUGUGGGUGUAUUUGAUGAAGAACAAAAAUAAGUUUAGGUACAUCUAAAAUGGAAGAAGAUGGGCGAGACUCAGACUGGUCAAAGGUCAAAAGAUUUCAUUCAGACAAUAGUGGUGAGUACGAGAAUUAUUUGUUUAUACAAUAUGUCGAGAUGAGGGCAUUGUACGACACUUCAUUGUUCGAGAUACACCACAACAAAAUGGGGUGGUAGAACACAUGAAUCGAACUAUAUUGGAGAAAGGUCGAUAUAUGUUGUCCAAUACAGGAUUGGGCAAGGAGUUUUGCGCUGAGGCAGUUACAUAUGCGUGCCAUCUGAUCAACCAUUUGCCAUCAGCUGCAAUUGAUUAUGAUUCUUUACAUGUUUUUGGUUCAACUGCUUAUUAUCAUGUAAAAAAAUCUAAGUUACACAUAAGAGAAAAGAAAACAAUGUUCAUAGGUAUAACUAGUAAAGUAAAAGGAUAUCGUCUCGAGUGUCCCAUUACAAAGAAGAUUGUUUGCAGUAGAGAUAUAACUUUUGAUAAUUCAGCCAUAUUGAAACGAAAAGAUUCACAAAAGGAUGACAAAACUAGUGGUACUUCGCAGCAAGUGAAGUUUGAAAAGGUUAAAGAUGAUAUAUCUGGUGUUGAGGAGAUGGAUAGUAAUUCUCUAUCGACCGAGCAUGAAGAAGAGGUUUUGACCCAGGAACCUUCACCGCAAUAAGAUUUAAUUGCAUAUAGCAGGCUAUAAAAAAAUAUUCGUAGACCUACGCGCUUUAUUGAUAUGAAAUGUUGUGCACUUCCAGUUGUAGAUGAUGAUGUUCCUUCUACUUAUAGAGAAACAGUAAGUAACAUUGAAAGUGUACAGUGGAAACUAGUAAUAAAUGAAGAAAUAUAGUCUCUUUAUAAAAUAGAACUUGGAAGUUAGUUACACUACCUAAGCAAAAGAAGGUAAUACGGUGCAAAUGGAUAUAUGCAAAAAAAGAAGGAUUUCCUAAUAAGAAUAAAAUUCGAUACAAUGCUAGAUUGAUAAUGAAGGUUUACGCUCAGAAUGAAGGAAUAGACUACAAUGAGAUGUUUUCUCCAGCUAUGAAACAUUUGUCUAUUCGAAUUUUGCUAGCUAGUUGCGUAAUUUUCUCUUGAAUUAGUUCAACUUGAUGUGAAAACCGCAUUGUUAUAUGAUGAUUUGGAAAAGGAAAUUUACAUGACUCAGCUAGAUGGAUUAAAAGUUGCUUGAAAAGAAAAUUAGGUUUACAAGUUGACAAAGUCACUUCAUGGAUUGAAACAAUCUCCAAGGUAGUGGUACAAGCGAUUCGAUCGGUUCAUGAAAAAGUGCACAAGAAAUAAAUUUAUAUCAUUAUGUAUAUUUUUGCAAGCUACAAGAGGGAUGCUUCACAUAUUUGCUCUUGUAUGUUGAUGAUAAGUUAAUAGCAUCUAAGAGCAAAGAUGAGAUUGAGAAGUUGAAGACGCAACUCAAUCAAGAGUUUGAGAUGAAAGAUCUAAGUGAAGUUAAGAAGAUUAUUCGCAUAGAGAUAUGCAGAGAUAAAGCUCGUGGCAUAGUCGGCUUAUCUUAUAAACAAUAUUUAAAGAAAUUACUACAAUAAUUUGGCAUAAUGAGUAGAAAAAAUUGUGAUUACCCUAUUGGCUUCUCAUUUCAAACUUUCUAUAUAAUUAUCUCCUUCGACAGAUGCAGAAUGAGGAUACAUGUUGCAAGUUCCUUUUCAAAUGCAGUUGGUAGCUUGAUGCAUGCAAUAGUGUGUACAAGGUAUGACAUUUCACAAGCAGUUAGUAUAGUGAGCAGGUAUAUGCAUAAUCCUAGCAAAGGACAUUAGCAAGCUGUAAAAUGGAUUUGACAGUACAUUCAGAAAACCUCGGAUAUUGGUUUACUGUUUAAGCAGGAUAAUACACUUGGUCAAAGUGUGAUUGGAUACUUUGAUUCUGAUUAUGCUGGUGAUUUGGACAAAUGACGGUCAACCACCGGCUAUGUAUUUACUUUUUCCGGAGGGCCAAUCAGUUGGAAGUCCACACUAUAGUCUAUAGUUGCAUUGUCAACCACAAAAGCUGAGUACAUGGCAAUUAAAAAGGCUAUUAAAGAGGCUAUUCGGUUACAAGACUUACUUAAAAACUUAAGAUUGGUCCAAGAACAUGUUAACAUGUAUUACGAUAGUCAAAAUGCUAUUUACUUGGUAAAGAACUAAGUUUAUCGUGCACAUACAAAGCAUAUCGAUGAAUGAUUUCACUUUGUAUGGAAAUUAUUGAUGAGGGAAAGAUUCUUCUUUAGAAAAUUAAAACUGCAGGGAAUCAUGCAGAUAUGUUGACUAAGGUGGUGAUAGCUAUCAAGUUUGAGAAUUGUCUAAAUUUGAUCAAUAUCCUACAAGUUUGAAAUUAUUAAGAAACCAGAGAUUGGAGGAUAAUUUAAUAUAUGGAGAGUUUUGUAAUCAGUUUAGAUUUGGACAAAUCUUCGCCAAGGUGGAGAAUUGUUGUAAAGUUAAAUUCGAUUGCAACAUGGAUUGCUUUUCAAACAUGGAUGGCUUGAAAUUCAAAUUAUGUGGCAUAAAUAUUUUGACAAGUUGAAGCCAUGCAUGCGUGAAGAUUUCAAUGCCGAUUUUUUAAGGACUUUGGUUGCCAAUUCUUUGAAGACUUUUAAGUGCAUUAAAUAGUGAAGCUCCACUAUAAAUACAGAAAAAAAAAAUAUUAUUUAUUAUGCAUCCAAAAAUUGUGAGAUCUAAAAGCAUUGCAAGUGAGUUCUUUAAGAGUAUCCAUUUGGGUGUAUUGGGUAUUGGGUUUUGAGAGUAGUUGCCAAAUUUUGUAAAUUUUCAUUUGUUAGUAAAAUUAUCUUCUAGCUUUUUGCUCGUGGAUGUAGGUUUUAAGCCCAACCACGUAAAUUAUUUUGUCCUAUUUUCUUUGUAUCACCACAUUUGCAUUUCUCUAGAAAUCACAGUCACCAUAAUAUUGGUAAUUGCUCAACCCGCUCUUCCACAACAGAAACAUCUAAAUACCAAAGUCACGCAGCGCUGCGAUGAUGAGUUUUCACAAUUUGAACCUUUUAAAUCUUGACCACAUUGUUGAGCGAAAUUUUGGUGUCAAUAGUUGGCGCCGUCUCUAGAGAUCUUAGAACAACAAGUCAUUUUACUAUGACUCUUGAAAUUCUCCCAGACAACCACUUAAAGGACUCAACGGCAUUAUUUUCCUUCAUAAUCCUGAAGACGUUGACACAAUCUGCCCUAGAGACAAGAUGCAUCGAGACCAAGCCAAUCAAAAUGAGCCAAUUCCUCAACCUGAGGAUACUUGUCACUAGCAUGAAUAGUUCGAGUGUGACCUUAUUGAUAAAUGUCAAGGUCAAGAAGCUCUCUCUGGGAUCAUUUGGAUUCUUUAUUUUCAAUAAAGAAGAGUUAGAAGCUUUUUGUCGGAUCAUCAUUAGUGCUAGUUUGUGUUAAGUUUAUUGCUAUGUUCUUUUUCAUGCUCUUUUUGCGUUGGAUUUGUUUCUUUAAAUCAACUUUUGGGCUACUGUGUAUGGACGAUUGCUUUUCAAAUAACUUUAUUUGAUUGGCCACCUAAGUUCAAAUUUAAAGGAGGUAGGGGCUAAAAAAAUUGAUUUAGAUAAUUGGACUUUCCCCACCCCUCACCCUUUUUGUUGUUUUGGGGGAGGCUGGGGAAACAUAAACCUCUAGGCUAGGGUGUGAGCUUUGAGUAAACUUUUUUGAUGACAUGAGACUAUUGCUCAAAUUACAACUCAUAUUGCAUGAGAGUAUAACUGAUAUGUACAAUCAUAUAUAUAUAUAUAUACUGAGACCUGUUGACAUUAAUGCUGAUAUGGCACCGCUCAAAUUUUUAACCCUCUCAAAUAUUCGAGGGACGUCAACUCCCAGCCUGGGAGAAAGACUGUCUUCACUCAAGCUCUAGGGCUCCAAGGAAGGACAUUUAAAUUAAACCCCUGCAAUGCGUCUGCGGAGGCUCGAACCACUUCCCUCACAUUUGUGAGGGAGUGGGUCUAGCCACUUGGGCUUAGUGGUUGAGCUUUGAGCAAACUUGGAUAGGGUUUUGUCAAUUAGUAAUUCAUCAAUAUCUUGAGAUUAGAUAAGAUUAGAUAACCUUUAGAGUUUGUAAUAAAUCUAGCAAAAAUGAUAUUCACCCCACCGUUAAACACCACUUGAACUCUAUCUAGACCAAGUUCUUACAUUUUUUUUAUAAAAAAAAAUAUUUUUUUUAUAUGGGUGGAAAGAGCGGUUUAGCAAUGGGGUGAGUAUAUUAAUCUAAAUUAAAUUUAAAAAACCCGAGAAAAUAUGGUAGCGGCAAUGAAAGAAAAAAUUAAAGUAGGUGUUUUAAUAUUAUUAAACGAAAUUUUCUAUUUAUAUUGUUUUUUAGAAAGUAAAUGGAUGACCAAACUCUAAAUCUAUUUUUUCACUUUUUGCCUCCCAUAAUUUUAAUUCAGAUGCUAAUUAAAUAAAAUUGAUUGACAAUUUUAAUUCAGAUGUUAAGUAAAUAGAAUUGAUUGAAAACCUGACUAUGUUAUUAAAUGUACGAAUCUCAUUAAGUGCCCACCUUACUUCAUUACGAGAACAAUAAUCUGCACCUUCAUGAUACGGUCUAAAACAAUGUCAUAAUUUAUAGGACCUCAUAUAAGUCUUUCUUUAAAGGCUAGUCUUUGAAAAAGAAAAGAAAUAUUAAAUAUUGUCUAUGCAUAGGGCUAAGUUGCCUAUAGAAGAAAUGAAUCUCUUCACGUUGAAGAAAUUAAAUUAUUAUCGAAAGUGGAACGACACUACUAAUUAAUUAAGUGGCAAUAUUUGACCCUUUUUCCAUAAAUAAAUAUUUUAAAUUGCUUUAAAAGAAUAAAAAAGGUUAUAUAGAGUGAAUUUUUUAAGCAGAGAAGCAACAAAGCAAUCGCCAUGUCUUUAAAAUGAAACUAGUCGCACGUUAUGAAGAAAACAAAUGUGUUAAUAAUAUAAAAUAAUUAAAAGAAAGAAAUUCGAUGUCGCUACUAAAGUCUAAAGAAAUGCUUGUGCUCGUCUGCAAGUAGAUUCAUUUCCAUUGCAAGGCCGACCAGAGAAAAAUUUCAGAGUCUCAUUGAUUCCGAAUAUUUUUAUUCUUUCGAUUAAAUAUUGUACACCUGUAAUGGCAACAAUAUACUGAAAACAUGUGUAUAAUGAAGGUAUUGCACUGAGAUACCUAAGGAACCCUCAGAUUGUAAAGUAGUGCGGUGCCGUUUGUCCAACUUUUUUGUGCCAAGCCAAGAAUAAUUGCAUGCUCAGAUUGAUGACAAAGCUUUUUAAGUAAAUUAUUUAUGAAAAUGAUGGUGAACUGAUUUGACAUUGCAGCGAAAGCAAACAAGAGGCCAGGAGAUCGAUUUUUCCUUUCCCCAACCUUGAGGAGAAAUUUUUUUGCUUGGAAUUUUGCAUGGAUUUGCUUCGGAUUUGGUUGGGGUGCGUAACUGUGUAGGGGAUUACUAUGUUCAUUGUUUGACCCCUUCUAAUUAAUAUUUUUAUGCUAUAACCCUCUCAAGUUUGAUGGAUUAUAUUAUGGGCCCCCAUUUAAGGUUUUUUUUUCAUUUUUUUCAUUUAAGUGUUAAAUUAAAAAUCACGGUUCUGUGUGGAUACCAGUACUAUUGUCCAAUAUUUUAUAGAAGACAAUGUUUAAUAUACUAUAUAAUGGAAAACUUGACAAUAACAUUUCUAUAAUUUAAUAAAAUGAUCACGGAGAUGUCCUUCUUUUAAAAAAUGAUCACACAGAUUCUUUCCGCAACAUUCAAAUCUUCUUUUUAAACAAACAUUAGAAGUUUUGUCUUCACUAUUUCUUAGCACAAAAUGAGUUUGUGAGUAUCAAAAAAAUUGUGUGACUAUUUUUAAAAUAAAGAACUCUCCGAAAGAAGAAUGACCAUUUUAACAAAUCAUUUGGUGUCAAUGUUCUUUUUCUUUAUGCAAUCUCGAAAAUAGUAGGAACAAAAAACUAAAGAGGAAAAAAGAAAACCGAUACAAAAACACAUGAUAUCCCCAAGUUAUAAAACUAGGAGAACGUGGAUGACUGUUUUAGUUCUGUGGAACUAAAAAAUUGAAGUGUUACUUUAAAAGGUUGUGCUGUCAGAAAUGAUAUGAUGCAAACCAAAUCUUUGCUUGGCUGCUUGGUUAACAAUAUUAUAAUCCGUUUGCAGAAAUCGAUGCAGAUGGAGAUGGACAACUUGUUUGAAUCUGCCAUGAGAGGCCACUGGGAUCACAUUGUGCAGGCUUAUGAGAGUAAUCCCAUGUCUCAAGAGGCCAAAAUCACAAAAUCAGAAGAUACAGCUCUGCAUGUUGCUGCUGCAUCUGGGCAUAGCGACGUCGUAUGCAGACUGGUGGAAACCAUGGGAGAAAAUGCAUCAAACAUUCUGAAAAUACAAAAUAAUCGAGGCAACACUGCUCUUCAUCUUGCUGCAGCACUUGGGAACGUAGAAAUGUGCCGUUGCAUGGCAUCAAAAGACCCCAAACUUGUCGGUGCUAGAAACAAAGAUAGCGAGACUCCUCUGUUCUUGGCAGCUCUUCAUGGCAAGAAGGCUGCAUUUCUUUGCCUCCACUUUCUCAGCCAUGAUAAAGACAGUUCUUUGGGCAGAAAGAGUAAUGGGGACACUAUUCUUCACGCUGCCAUAUCCGGAGAUUACUUUAGUAAGUAACCCAUUUUCCAUUAUGCUAUUGUUUGUCAAAUUCUGGGAAAAUUUUAAAUGUUGAUGAUUUGUUAGUUUUACAGGCUUGGCAUUUCAUAUUAUACGCUGUUACCCUGAUCUUGUAAACUGUGUGAAUGAGAAUGGACUAUCUCCUCU